CAACCUUUCCAGUACAGAGUUUGAAGGAGAAGUCCCAUCCCAAGUCUCCCACCUGUCAAAAUUGGUUUCACUUGAUCUCUCCGUUCGGAUUGAUUACUGUGGGCAUGUUACAAUUGACAAACAUGCUCUGGAGGGACUUGUUCACAACCUAACCGAGGUCAGACAUCUGUUUUUGGGUGGAAUCAACAUGUCUUCUGUUAAUGCUCAUGUCUUCAAGAACCUAUCCUCUUCUCUAAGGUCUCUCAGUCUUGCUCAUUGUGAUUUGCAAGGAAAAUUCCCAAAAAACAUUUUUGAUUUGCCAAACCUCAAUCUCCUCAACUUGGGAGGCAACCAAAACCUCAAUCUUGAUCCUUUGAAGUUCAAUCGGAGCAGCAAUCUUGAACAUUUGGAUCUGUCGUGGAUGUCCUCCUCUACAGAAUCCAUUGAUUCAGUUGAUAAUCUACAGGCCUUAAAGUACUUAGAUCUAUCAGGAAAUUCUUUCUUUCAACGAUUGUCUGUCUCAAUCACAAAAUUAUCUUAUUUGGAGUACUUGAUACUUGAAGGCGCAAAUUUUUUUGGAGGAUUGCCUGACUCGAUGGGGAAUCUCGUGUCCUUGAAGUUUUUAGACUUGAGAUCAAACAAAUUGAGUGGACAAAUUCCAUUGUCAAUUCUAAACUAACGCAGUUGGAAUACUUGGAUAUAUCUGAAAAUUCAUUAGAAGGUUCCAUUCCAGAUGAGGUAACCGCUUUUCCUAAUCUAAUAUAUUUAUUCUUAUAUGACAAUUUACUCAAUGGAACACUUCCGUCAUGGUUGUAUACUGUUCCCUCCUUAAAGAUAAUAUAUCUCUUUCAAAAUCAAUUCAGUGGGCAUAUCAAAGAAUUCCAAUCCAAAUCACUAGAAUUGAUAGUGUUACAGAAUAAUAAACUCCAAGGUCCUCUUCCAUCUUCAAUAUUCCAACUUCUCAAUCUUACCCACCUCGUUUUAUCCUCAAAUAAUCUCAGUGGUGUCAUAGAGUUUCGCAUGUUCUCAAACCUUCCAAAUCUAGAAGUUCUCGACCUUUCAUAUAACAGCCUAUCCUUAACAUCUAAUACUACUUCUACUGUUAAUCUUACAAGCUUAAUUUUGUCAUCUUGCAAUCUUAGUGAAUUCCCCCAAUUUUUGAAAGGGCUUAAAAGUUUGGAAAGGUUAGACCUCUCUUGCAACAAAAUUGAAGGCAAGAUUCCACAGUGGAUGCAAGAGGUGGGGAAUGUCUCUUUGACUUACUUCAACGUAUCUCACAACUCUUUGACAGAAGUUGAGCACUUUCCAUGGAAGAAUAUUGCAUUUCUUGACUUAAGCUCCAAUUUGGUCAGUGGAAAUCUUCCGAUUCCAGCUUCGACGAUCAGAGUCUUUCUGAUCUCAAAUAAUAGUUUCAAUGGAGAGGUCUCUUCUUUAAUAUGCAAUGCCAGUUCUCUUCAAAUUCUUGAUUUGUCCCACAAUAACUUGAGUGGAACAAUUCCGCAAUGUUUCGGAAAUUUGAGCGACAGCCUUGAAUUCUUGAAUCUGAAGAAGAACAAGUUUUAUGGGACGAUUCCUCCAACAUUUGCAGAGGGAUGCCAGUUGACUAAUUUCAACUUAAAUGGAAAUCUGUUAGAAGGGCCUUUGACACCAUCCAUCCUUAAUUGUAGAGGUCUGGAAGUGCUAGAUCUUGGUAACAACAAGAUCAAUGAUACAUUUCCUCAUUGGUUGGGAAAUCUUCCAUAUUUGCAAGUUCUUGUAUUGAAGUCAAAUCAUAUGCAUGGUUCUUUGCGUGUCAAUAGCUCCAAGUCUAGCCCCUUUUUCUCUAAAAUCCAAAUUUUUGACCUCUCAAGUAAUUAUUUUUCUGGACCCCUACCUGUGAGGUACAUCAACAGCUUCAAGGCUAUCAUAAAUCUAGAGAAGAUUCGUAGUACAGUGUCGUACAUGGGGGUGAAUGGUCGGAAUGGUAGUGGCUUCUAUACCUAUUCCAUUGGAAUUGUUAUGAAAGGACAAGAUAUGGAAUUGGUGAAAAUUUUCACCAUGUGGAUGAUCAUUGAUCUAUCAAACAAUCAGUUUGAAGGGGGUAUUCCAAAGGUUAUUGGGAAGCUUAACUUACUGAAAGGGCUCAACCUUUCUCAUAAUAACCUUAGUGGUGGUAUCCCCACCUCAACAGGGAAUUUGACAAGUCUUGAAUGGUUAUGUAGUUUUAGAUGUUAAGGAUAGGCUGUUAUAUGAAAGGUCGCGAUGUUUUAGAUUUGGAAGGUUUGAGAACAUGCGAAGCUCUAUGACACCACUAAGAUUAUUUGAGGAUAAGCUGAGGGAGGUAAGAUUGAGAAGUUGGAAUAUUGAAGAUGGAAGAGGACCUUGGAGUUUAUUAUUUUCUAGAUCUAAAUAUUCUAGUGAUUUGGUUUGGAAUUCUUUGAUAUGACGGAAGUGUUCCAUUGAGUAAAUUGUCAAAUAACACUAAAUAUAUUAGAUUCGGAACAGCGGUUACCUCAUCUGGAAUAGAACCUUCUAAAGAAUUUUCAGAUAUUUCCAAGUAUUCCAACUGCGUUAGGUUUAGAAUUGACAAUGGAAUUUGUCCACUCAAUUUGUUUGAUCCCAAGUCUAAAUGAGUGAGUUGCAAGAGGUUUCCAAGUGAUCUUGGACCGGUCCUGAUAAGUUGGAAUCGGAGAGAACUAAAAACUUCAAGGACACAAGAUUCCCCAUCGAGUCAGGCAAUCCUCCAAAAAAAUUUGCGCCUCUAAUAAUCAAGUACUCCAAAGAUGAUAAAUUUGUGAUUGAGGCAGACAAUCCUUGAAAGAAAGAAUUUCCUGAUAGGUCUAGGUACUUUAAGGCCUGUAGAUUAUCAACCGAAUCAAUGAAUUCUGUAGAGAAGGACAUCCACGACAGAUCCAAAUGUUCGAGAUUGCUGCUCCGAUUGAACUUCAAAGUAUCAAGGUUGAGGUUUUGGUUACGUCCCAAGUUGAGGAGAUUGAGGUUUGGCAAAUCAAAAAUGUUUUUUGGGAAUUUUCCUUGCAAAUCACAACCAGCAAGACUGAGAGACCUUAGAGAAGAGGAUAGAUUCAUGAACACAUGAGCAUUAACAGAAGACAUGUUGAUUCCAUCCAAAAACAGGUGUCUGACCUCGGUUAGGUUGUGAACAAGUCCCUCCAGAGCAUAUUUGUCAAUUGUUUGUUCACCAAACACAGAGGAGGAGAGAUCAAGUGAAACCAAUUUUGACAGGUGGGAGACUUGGGAUGGGACUUCUCCUGCAAACCAUGUAUAAGAAAGCUUGAGGUAGAAUAGGCUUGUAAACCGACCGAACUCGGACCUAUCUUCAAACAUAUUAAAUACCCAUUCACUUCAAUUCUACUAUUCUUAAAUCAUUAAAGUUUUGUGGAAAAUAUGCUUCUUGGAUAAAAAUUAUUCAACACACAUGCCUUGAAUUUUAUGCAAUAAAAUAAAUCAAUAUAGGCCACACAUGCUUUGAAUUUUUAAGUAGUCCACAAUUUUGUUCGUUUGUGUGCAAGAUUCUACAUUGCUUGACAGCCAUACAUACUAAGUAAAUAGACACCCACAUUGUUUACGUAUUAUGAGGAAGAAGAUUAAGUCAAUCUACUUUGUAAUCUCAUCAAUCUUAAUUUUCUCAGUUGUUUAGGGAGUUCAAAUGAAAUACAAAAUUUUGGAAAAAAAAUGUAUCCAAUUUUGUGAAUGAAAAAUAUAUGGUAAAAAGGAUUUGGUAUGGAUACUUCGGCCCGGGUAUCAAUACUCAGAGUAAGUUAAAGCAUCAGUGGAUGAAGAAGGAUCUGGUUGGUGCAAAUGAAGUUAAAGCAUUUGUGCUGUGUCUUCAUAAUUUCUUGUUUAGUAGUCUGUCAGAAAGUUUUUCCUAUGGUGAAAAGUUGCAUUGGUAUGUGUCUGUUUUUAUGAUUGUACCAAUUCCUCUGUAUUUCAUUGCAUUUCGUACUAUUUGUAAGGGUUUAGUUCGAGUGUAACAUCUUGUAUGGUGCAACUAUGUGUGUCUUCUUUCUUGAAUUUCAAUUUUUAGUAAACAUUGUACUGCUCACCAUAAAAAAGGAUACAUGUAGAAUUACAAAAGAUUCAAUUAUUCAAGUUUGAGUUGCAUUUAUAAACACGUGGCGAUGAGAAUUUAUGAACGUAAGGUAUGGUUUGAGCCCUUUUGCCAUAUGCAUUUAUGUUGCAGAUGUUCAAAUAUUAAUUUAAGAGUAAUAUUUACAAUAGCAUUGCAGAGUAACAUAUUUAAGAUUGGAUUACACAGUCAAAAGAUUGCAGCAACGAUGAGAUUAAUACAAUUACAGGAAUUGGUAUCCUACAUGGCUUUUAGGCACGUAGCUUCAUUGACGAUGAGAUAAUUUUAGGAGGAAGCAACAGCAAGUGUGAAGUCAAUAGACAAUUGAUAGUCUUUAUUCUUUUGUGUGGAAAAUUAUUUGGGACCAAACUUAACGUGUUAUAAGGAAGAAGACUUUGUAAUCUCAUGAAAUGUUAAUUAUUUUACUUCUUUGGUAAAAAAAAAGGAAUUAAUUUUAUGAAUGAAAAACAUAUGGUAAAAAGGAAAUAGUUGUUGAUCACUAACAACAUGAUGAUUGUGGAAAUACAAAAAUUCCCAUAUAUGUGUUGAAUUCUGCAUAAUGUAAAUGUCCCGCAUUGCAUGUGAAUUCUGCAAUAGACCAAAUUUUACGUGUUAUAGUCCUUUAAACUGAGUUAAUGAAAAGUAAUCAUUCUUAUCAAAAUUAGUUAUACUCUUAAUUUAUAAUAAAAGAAAGAGUAAUUUGAGUUUAACUCAAAGGUUAAUAUGUCAUCAAUGGGCGAUGGCAUGGCGCUACCAUGUCAGCGAUUAUUUUCUUCUUUGAGUUAAGGUGAUUUCACCAAUUUUAGUUUACUUUUUAACUUCAAUUUAGGUUUAUGCUUAUUAGCUUCGAAGAUUCUAUGUGGGUGCCACAAUCAAAGGGUGAGUAAAAAGGGUUAAAAAUAAUUUUUUUUAAAAUAUUUUUAUUUUUAUUAAAAAUUUAGAAUUAGAAUUAGACAAAUUUUGUAAAUGUUAAGGGCUAACUUUAUUGAAUUUUUUUUUUCAGAAUUCGAACUAAAAUGACAAAUUUUGUAAAAAGCGCUAAAUUUGUUGAAUUUUUUAUAUUUAAGAUCAAAUUGAUAGAAUGUGUAAAUAUUAGAGGUUAAAUUCGUUAUUAGAUAAAAAAAAACCCACAUCAGCUUUCCGUCACUCAUCUAACGACAACUAAAGGGAGAGUGAUUAAAAUAUUUAAUUUCAAAAAGUUUAGCAACUAAUUGGAAAAUUUAAUAGUUGGGUGACUAUUUUUAUAGUUUACAACUUUUUUGGUCACCUGACUAUUAAGUGACACUUUUUUGUUGGAAUAAUAAUAAUUUUAGUCCUCAAUUUUUAUACUUUUUGUCAAUUUAACUCUGAUUAUAUAAAAUGAUUACAAAAAUGAAAUUCUUUUUAAAUUUUACAAAAUUAUAAAAAUUAAAAAUUAAAUGAAAGUAGAUAAGAAUUUCAAAUAUAAAUAAAGUGAGAGAAAAUGAGGGAAAUAUCAUUUUUAAACCCUACAAAUUGUCUUUGUAUUAUCUGUAAAGAAAUAUCUAAUAUCCAUUCUUUUAGAAAACAUAGAAAAAAGUUAAAAAAAGAUUAAGUAAAAUUAUCUGUAUAUAAUCUGCUUUUAUAAUUUGGGUUUUUAAAAAUAAAUUUAAAUGAAUUGAAAAUUCAAAUUGAGUUUGAAAAAGAAAAUUUUGAGGUAUAUUUUAUAUUUUUGCUAGAAAAAUGGCAUCAAAGUCGAUUUCGUAAGCUUUUGUAAUAUCAGUUACAGAUGUUCUUCAAGGGCAUGGAACUCAACUUGAAAAUUUUACUAAUUUGGUUGCAAAAAACAUUGAGGAAGCAUAUAAUGAUCUAACCUUUUUUUUUUGUUUUGUUCUGUUUUUAAUUUGUUAUGGGAUUCUAUUGAAUGAUAAUUUUUUUUAUUUCCCAUACAUUUUAGUUCUUCAACAACAACAUAUUCGAGAUUUUAUUUUUCUAGAAUUUUUAUAUAGAAGUUUAUAUUUUUUAAAAUAAUUUUGAGUUUCUUUUUAUAAUUUUUAUAUAGAAUCGAGGUAGAUUGGCAAAAAAAAUUAUAUAACAAAAUAGUAAAAUUGUUAUUAUAGCAACUACAAAGUGUCAUUUAACAAUAGGGUGACCAAAUUGUAACUUUUUUAGUUAAGUGACCAAAACGAAGAUUUACCCAUAGUUCAGUGGCUAAUUAUGUAGUUUACCCUUUCAUGAUUAAAAAAAUAGUUGUUAAGUUUUUCUUGUAUUAGAUAAGAUUUUAGAUGGUAAAAACCCUCGUUAGUCGCUCUCAAUUUUGAUAUUAAGUAAAUUGGUCCAUUUAAAAAAAAUCAAAGCAAUUUAAUCUUUGUUAAUUUCGAAAGUGAGUAGCUAAGGACAAUUAAUCACAAUGUCAAUAUUUUCCAUCAAUUGUACAUAUUUUUAUUGGUAUAAUAACAAAUUUAGCUCUCAAAGUUUACACAUUCUGCCAAUUUGGUCUUGAUUUAACAAAUUUAGCCCGCAACAAUUACAUAUUCUAUUAACAUUUACACAUAAUAUAUAAACAUCGAGAGCUUAAUUUGUUAUUAUAUCAAUAAAAAUUAUGUACAAUUUAUAGAAAGCAUUAACACAAUGAUUAAUUGUCCUUAGUUGCUCCCUUUCAAAAUUGAUAAUGAUUAAAUUGCUCUAAUUUUCUGAGAGGAACCAAUUUGUUCAAUAUAGAAAUUGAGAGGGACGAGAAAUGUGUUUUUUUUAUCCAUUUUAGAUACCAACAAGUGUUUGGCGUAGUGGCAAGGCAUAUUACAUUCUGAAGGAGAGAAUGCGUAUUCGUUGGAGAUAACAAUGUUGUGUGGGGUAUUCACGGAUCUCGAACACAGACUGUAAAACAUAUAUAAAGAAUAAAAAGAAUAACAUCUUAAUUUAAAUAAUUAAUAAAUUUUAAUUUGAAAAAAAGUAUUUUGAGAAACAUAGGUUUUAUAAAUAGUAAAAUUGAAUCGAUAAAACAUGUCCAUUAUAUCAGAAUCAUAAAAAUACAACUUAAUUAAUUUGAAUUUAAACUUAACUCAACUCAAUUUGAUUAUAAAAAAUUGAUAAUUUGAAUCCAAAAUGACAUGAUCUUGAAAUGAUUUGAUUUAGUGAUCAAACCCGAAUGGCAAAACUCGAAAUGAUGCAAUCCAAAAACACAAAGCAAAUGAACUAAACUAUGAAAAAAAAAAACCUUACACCGACUCAAAUCCAAAAUAAUUUAAUCCUAAAAUAACCUAAAUUUUAUGUAAUAUAAACUCGAAAUAACCCGAAAAUUUUUAAAUUAAAAUUGACCCGACCCAAAUUCACACCACCUAAAAUCAAUCGUAACCACCUAAUUAAAAAGCAUGAAAUGAAAUGAUGUAAAGAGAAAAUCAGAGAAAACCAAAUAGAAAGUAACAAGCUUUUUUCAGAAUUGAAAGCAAAUUCCGUACAUUCACGACAUGCAUAAAACAACAAUGGUUUAUAGAAUUUGAGUUUUAGUCCUGUACUUUUAAAGUUAAUUUUUCUUAAUUUAAAAAUAUUAGUUUAAUUAUUUAUGUUGGUUGUAGUUUCCGUUAGCUUAAUCAACAUGUUAAAUUACUAAAUUUUGACAGAAAAUACUUACGAGUUUAAUGAUUGUACCGAGAUUUUUAAAUAAAAAAGUCGGAAGACUUAAUUUCUAACCUUUUAAAUAUAGGGACUAAAAGCAUCUUUUAACUUUGAUAUUAUUAUUAUAAGUAGGGAUAAUGUCACCUUUGAUAUCUGUACUUUCAUAAAAUGUCUAGUGGUACAAGUACUUUGAAAAUAUAUAAUGUGGUACUAUCAGUAUGUGUUAUUAUUAUGGUACAUGUACUUUGAAAAUGUUUAAUGUGGUACCUAAACUAUUUAUAUAUGGUUUAUUAUGAUCCUUGGUAAAGACGGACUAUUAUGGUGGCUUAGGGGGCUCUUUGUCCCGCCACCCAUGCAAAAAAAAAAAAAAUCGGAGAAUUUUGUUUUUUCCUUUGAAAUUUUUAGAAAAUUUCAAUUAAGCCCCAAAAAUUUUUUAAAUUUUUCAUUAUACCUUUUAAUUUUUUUUGAAAAUUUUAAUUAAGUGCUCUUAAAAUUUUGAAAAUUCUCAUUAAUCUCACAAAAAAUUUUAAAUUUUUUUAUUAGACCCCCAAUUUUUUUAAAAAAUCUUAUUAAACCCUUAAAUUUUAGUGAAUUCCCCCAAUUUUUGAAAGGGCUUAAAAGUUUGGAAAGGUUAGACCUCUCUUGCAACAAAAUUGAAGGCAAGAUUCCACAGUGGAUGCAAGAGGUGGGGAAUGGCUCUUUGACUUACUUAAAUGUAUCUCACAACUCAUUGACAGAAGUUGAGCACUUUCCAUGGAAUAAUAUUGCAGUUCUUGACUUAAGCUCCAAUUUGAUCCGUGGAAAUCUUCCGAUUCCAGCUUCGACAAUCAAUGUCUUUCUGAUCUCAAAUAAUAGUUUCAAUGGAGAGGUCUCUUCUUUAAUAUGCAAUGCCAGUUCUCUUCAAAUUCUUGAUUUGUCCCACAAUAACUUGAGUGGAACAAUUCCUCAAUGUUUUGGAAAUUUCAGCUACCAGCUUCAAUUCUUGAAUCUGAAGAAGAACAAGUUCUAUGGGACGAUUCCUCCAACAUUUGCAGAGUUUUUCCAAUUGAGUAAUUUCAACUUAAAUGGAAAUCUGUUAGAAGGGCCUUUGACACCAUCCAUCGUUAAUUGUUAUGAGCUGAAAGUGCUAGAUCUUGGUAACAACAAGAUCAAUGAUACAUUUCCUCAUUGGUUGGGAAGUCUUCCACACUACAAGUUCUUGUAUUGAAGUCAAAUCAUAUGCAUGGUUCCUUAUGUGUCAAUAGCUCCAAGUCUAGCCCUUUUUUCUCUAAAAUCCAAAUUUUUGACCUCUCAAGUAAUUAUUUUUCUGGACCCCUACCAGUGAGAUACAUCAACAGCUUCAAGGCUAUCAUAAAUCUAGAGAAGAUUGGGAGUACAGUGUCGUACAUGGGGUUGAAUUAUCCUUGGGGUCCUGGCUUCUAUACCUAUUCCAUUGGAAUAGUUAUGAAAGGACAAGAUAGGGAAUUGGUGAAAAUUUUCACCAUGUGGAUGAUCAUUGAUCUAUCAAACAAUCAGUUUGAAGGGGGUAUUCCAAAGGUUAUUGGGAAGCUUAACUUACUGAAAGGGCUCAACCUUUCUCAUAAUAACCCUAAUGGUGAUAUCCCCACCUCAAUAGGGAAUUUGACAAGUCUUGAAUGGUUGGACCUAUCUUCAAGCAGUUUGUCUGGGACGAUUCCAAAUAGAUUGGUAGAUCUGCCAUUUCUUUCGUCCGUAAAUUUUCUGAAAAUCAACUCCAUGGUCAGAUUCCUCAAGGCAAACAAUUCAAAGGAAAUAAGGGACUAUGUGGAUUUCCGGUCUCAAAAGGUUGCAACAUCAUUGAGCCAGCACCUCCAAAUGUGCUUGGAAAAGAUGGCUCAAAAUCAAACAUUGCUUUUGGUUGGAAAGUGGUGUUGAUAGGUUAUGGAUGCGGAGUAGUGUUCGGAAUGUUCGUGGGAUAUGUUGUUUUCCAAACUGGAAAGCCGAAAUGGUUGGUGAAUUUGGUUGAAGACCAACAUGAGAAUAGGCGAAGAAGAAAGUCAAAGAAAGGCAAUUGCAGCAGUAGACGAAGAAGGAUCUAAUUACUGCAAAUGAUGGUGAAGAAUUAGUGUUGUAUUUUCAUAAUUUCUUAGUCUGUAGACCGUUUUGCCUAUGGUGAAGGGUUGCAUUGGUAUGUGUCUGUCUUUAUUAUUGUACCAAUUCCUCUGUCUUUCAUUGCAUUUCGUACUUUCAGUAAUGGUUUGUUUGAGUGUAACAUUUUGUAUGGUGGUGUUGUUUAUGUCUUCUUUCAUGACUUUCAAUUUAGUCUCGAUAAUCUUUGCUACUGCUCAGUAAAGGAGAAAGGAGAACAAAAUGGCGCAAUGAUCUCUGUUGUAUUUUCAUAAUUUUUUUACAAGUUAGCAGUAAAAGGUUUGGUUAUAUGGAGAAAGUAAUAAUAUAUAGCAGAGUUGAAGGAAUGAUAUAAUGAAUUGAAACAUGGAACAAUGCAGACUGUAAAAGGGUACAUAUAGGUUGCUUUAAUUGCUAAAAUGGAAAGACUGUAAAAUGGAACAAUGCAGAAAUUGGUGUUGUUAUUAUGGAGUUCAAAGGUUAAUAUUCAUGCUUGUAGAUUUGACGCGGAAUGUAGAUGAACUGAAGGCUGUUUUGGCAUUAUGCCAAUUUCCACAUUCAUACAUAUAAAGGAAGCAAGACCAAGUCAAUAUCAUCAACUCUAAUUAUUUCACUUCUUUCUUUAGGGAGUUCAAAUGGUGGCCCGGAAGGAGUGAAAAUGUCACCUAGAAAGAGGGUAUCACAUAUCAAAGCACGAAAGUCGUCAUAAAAAUUUUAAAAACAAGGAAGAUUGAGCCAUCAACAGUGUUAUUGUGAAACCGAUCAUAAGGUAUCGCAAUGCCCAAAACUCCCAAGGAUCCCCACGACUGUUGUGAAUUUCGCGAUACCAAACUUGGUAUCGCAAUAUCAUUGAUGAGAGGAGACAAAAUAUAACAGUAGGGUAAUCCUUUUCCAACAUGUCCCCUAACCAAAAUUAGAUGAUCAUGGACAAUUUGGUCACUAUUUUUGGAUCUGUAAUUUGCUAGAAAGGGCAAAAAAUUGGCUGAACAAAAGGCAACACUUAACAUUUCAUGUUUUUCAAUUUUUCUCUUUAUUUUUAGAGUUUUAGUUUUCUUCUCCAUAACUCUAGGGUUUAAUUCAUGUUUUCUUUGAGUUUUUCUUGGUUCCAAUAAUAGUAGUUAGUUAAGUUAAUUAUCACUGUAGCUAGGAUUUAUUGGCUCGUUUAGUACCUUUAACUCUUUGUAUUUUCAGCUUAAUCCUUGGUUUUAAUAUAAAUAAAUUCCCUUCAUCAUUAAAAAUCUAUUUUUAGGGUUUUUUUUUACAUUUCCUUUGCUACCAUUGUAAUUGUUUUCAAGCUUUUCUCAUUUUUCUCAUGUUUUCUAGUUAUGCCUAUUUUGUAUGAUUGUUGUAUUUUUGUUUGUUUAAAUAUGAUUAUGGGUAACUAAAUCUGAAGUGAAAUUUGGCAUUAUGAAAAUGUCCAACAUUGCUUGUGGAUUAAUUCAUUAAUUCAUGUCUAUGUUUUAUUUAUUCAAAUGAUUAAUAGCUAAUUUGAUCCUUAAAUUAUAGUUCAAAAAGUAUUUUUAUAUUUUCAAAUUUUCAUAAAUAUAAUUGUAGCAAAAUUUAAAAAUCUGAAAAUAAAUAAAAAUUUUAUAUAAAAAAAUCAAUUGGUGCAAGAAAAAAAAAUUUCCAACUACUUUUUCCACAUCCAAUCUCAUAAAUAAUCAGUCUUUGAACUUUCACAAAAAAAUAUUAAAUACCCAUUUACUUUAAUUCUGCUCGUUUUUCAUUUGCUUUAUUGAUGUAUGCUCUCUUCAUAUUAUCUUUCUUUGCCUUUUUUUUUCCUCCUUUUUCAUGUAGAUCUGCGUCGACUCUACUAUUCUUGGAUCAUUAUAAAUAUAAUAUAUUUUUUUAUUUAUAGCUGAAAGUAAAACAUUGAGUUGAAAUUUGGCAAAAAAAAUUGUGGGUUUGGAGAAGAAGAAGAGCACUUCAUAUUUAAAUUUAAAAAAUCUAAAAUUCCAAAAUCGAAAGUUAGUCAAAACCCUAAACAAUCUAAUAAUUGGGGUUGUAGAAAAGAAAUAUGGGUUUAGAAAUAAAUAAAACAAAAUAAAUUUGCAAAACAAUUUCUAGGCAAAACAGCAUUAAAUUAAGGACUAAAAUAUUUUUUUUUAUAAAGCUUAGAGUGAAAUGAGUUUUUGGGAAACUGAAAAAAAAGUGAAAUGGGAAUGUUUGUACUAAUACACAUGGCAUUAUUGGACAGUAGACAAUAACUAAAAUGUUGCGUUAAUUUGUUUAUUGGACAUUCUUCUGCAAUGCUUAGAAAAUUUUAAUAUAUGUUUUAUUUUUAAAAUUUUUAAAAUUUAUGCUUCUUUUUCUUCUUCAGGAUCUCACUCCUGCUCUUCAUUAAUCCAGUUCAAGAACUCUUUUUCCAUAAUAGAGGAUGCUUCUUCUUAUUGCAAUGAUUUUGCUGGCCUUAAAUCUUAUCCCAAGACAAAUUCAUGGAAGGAGGGUACAGAUUGCUGCUCAUGGGAUGGGGUCACUUGUGACCACCUAAAUGCUCAUGUUAUUGCUCUUGACUUGAGCUGCAGUUGGCUAUAUGGCAACUUCCCUUAGCAGCCAAAAAAACCCAAUUGAGAACUGGGUUCCAAAUCAGACAAGGCAAAAGCCAAAUCAUCUGGGAUUGGUGGAGAGUGAUGUGUCAGAAGAAGAAGAAGAGGAAGAAGGGGUUUGAGAUGUGACAACUAUUGCACUGCAUUGCAGUCUGCAAUUGAGAACUGGGGCCUCCUGCUUAUUUAUAUUAACUAUCCACUACUCGUUAUUGUCGUGUCGUGUGAACUUAUGAGGAAACAUAGUGCUUUCAUUCUGUGCUUCGUACUUUUUUACUACCAAGGAGGUGCAGUUAAAUUGUACUAUUAGCAGGAUUAGAGGUGGUUUAUAGGGAGUGUGUUCUUUUAGUGGGUAUGAACUCUCCCUUUCAUAUUAAUUGGGUUUUAUUAUUUUGGCCCAAAGGUGGGGAUUGUAGUGUAUGGAUAUUAUUAUUAUUAUUCACAGUGGCAACGCCCACCUCGUCUACCAAACGACAAAUAUAACCUUUGAAAUUGACCAAACUUUGUUCGGUCAUAACAUUGACCAUUGACGACAAGAAAAGUUUGUUUUCCAUUAUAUCUUAACCUUUGAAGCAUUGUAUGUGGCCACCCACGUAGUCAACUAUUUAUGUUAUGUCACGACAAAAACAGCAUCCUCCUUUGUCUUUGAAAUUCGACAUUAAUAAUGGAGUUCUUUUUGCACACAUGCAUUCUAUUUAUUAUUUUGAAUACAAUUCUAAUCUAGAUUUUUGGCUUUACAUUUUUUUUAUUUAAUCAUCAAGUUGUCCAUGUUCUUUAAUUUUUUUUAAAAAAACUAAGUUGCAUUUCCUUUUUUUUAAAAUUAACGAUAUAUUGAAAUCAUUAUUGAAAUUAUAAUCAAAAUUAAUACAUGUUCUUUUUAUUAGCUUAAGGGCAUAAAAACCCUUCAAAAUUUUCAAAAAUAAAAAUAAAAAUUUAAGUCCCUCUUUUUUUUUUACACUUAAUUGAGCAUUUAAACUUUUAAAAUGUAUCAAAAAUAUCUUUACACUUCUUAAAAAAAGCAAUUAAAUCCCUAUUUUUUUCUGCUCAAUUGGGUACUUGAACUUUCAUAAUGCAUAAAAAAGGAUCACAUCCUUUAGUUCCUUAUUUUACAUAUUUCAUUGCGGAUGAGGUUGUCUUAAAAGAUCUUUCAUACCUCAUUAUAUAUGUCUGUUGCAAAGAACUUUUGGUUGGUUAUCUCAAGCUUACAUUUUUGCCACAUGUUUGCUUUGAUGCGUGUUGCCCGGAGUCUUCUCCAGAAUGAACACUUACUCAUAGAACCUUAUGUGAGUUUAUUAUUUCAAUGAUUUAGAAGUACACGAACUAAUGCAAAUAUGCUAGUGGUUUAUUUUCCACCUAUCUGAUUUUUUAAAAUGUUCUUCAGUUACACCAGUUGAUGCCUUCUAUUAUUACCUGCCUCGUUGCAAAAAGGUUAGGAAAUAAAUUCACCGACAAUCAUUGGGAACUUAGAAACUUCGCAGCAAAGCUAGUGGCAUCAAUAUGCAAAAGGUGAAGAUUUCUUUUCUUUUGGACUUAUACAUGCAUUUUCGUUUUUAUGAAUUUCAGAUGUCUGAUUUUUUAGUUAUAAACUUGGAUCUAUUCUUCAAAUCAAGUGUAUAUCAUUUUCAUGCUAUUUCACACAUGCAAAACAAAUGGUGCGAGCAUGCAUGUUAUAUGCAGAAUACAUAGAUUAAUUACGUGUGGAUCAUUAAGCAUGCCUAUGUUUGACCAAUGUGUGUGGCUACUUUUUUUUUUUACAUGAUCCAAUUUUCGAUAUGCUUUGCUUUUAGGUUGAAUGCGGAAAAGAUUAGAACUUAAUUUCCAGCAUAAUGAUUUGUCUUGGAUAUGCAGAUUUUUACAUGCAUUUCUUACAAGUCAAUAUUUAUAGAUUUGGGCAUGUUUAUCACAAUCUUCAGCCACGUGUGACAAGGACACUGCUCCAUGCUUUUUUGGACCCAACGAAAACAUUUCCCCAGCAUUACGGAGCAAUUCAAGGGUUAGCAGCCCUUGGACCCAGCGUGGUAUAAUUCUAAUCUCAAAUAUUUACUAGCAACACAAUAAGAUACUUGUUUGUGGGAUCAAUUGGUCAAAGAUAUUGCAAUGAUAGCCAUCUUUUUGACAGAAGUUGAGCACUUUCCGUGGAAUAAUAUUGCAGUUCUGGACUUAAGCUCCAAUUUGAUCCGUGGAAAUCUUCCGAUUCCAGCUUCGACAAUCAAUGUCUUUCUGAUCUCAAAUAAUAGUUUCAAUGGAGAGGUCUCUUCUUUAAUAUGCAAUGCCAGUUCUCUUCAAAUUCUUGAUUUAUCCUACAAUAACUUGAGUGGAACAAUUCCGCAAUGUUUUGGAAAUUUGAGCGACAGCCUUGAAUUCUUGAAUCUGAAGAAGAACAUGUUUUAUGGGACGAUUCCUCCAACAUUUGCAGAGGGAUGCCAGUUGACUAAUUUCAACUUAAAUGGAAAUCUGUUAGAAGGGCCUUUGACACCAUCCAUCCUUAAUUGUAAUGAUCUGGAAGUGCUAGAUCUUGGUAACAACAAGAUCAAUGAUACAUUUCCUCAUUGGUUGGGAAGUCUUCCAAAGCUACAAGUUCUUGUAUUGAAGUCAAAUCAUAUGCAUGGUUCCUUGCGUGUCAAUAGCUCCAAGUCUAGCCCUUUUUUCUCUAAAAUCCAAAUUUUUAAUCUCUCAAGUAAUUAUUUUUCUGGACCCCUACCUGUGAGAUACAUCAACAGCUUCAAGGCUAUCAUAAAUCUAGAGAAGAUUCGUAGUACAGUGUCGUACAUGGGGGUGAAUAAUCGGAAUGGUAGUGGCUUCUAUACCUAUUCCAUUGGAAUUGUUAUGAAAGGACAAUAUAUGGAAUUGGUGAAAAUUUUCACCAUGUGGAUGAUCAUUGAUCUAUCAAACAAUCAGUUUGAAGGGGGUAUUCCAGAGGAUUUUGGGAAGCUUAACUUACUGAAAGGGCUCAACCUUUCUCAUAAUAACCUUAAUGGUGGUAUCCCUACCUCAAUAGGGAAUUUGACAAGUCUUGAAUGGUUGGACCUAUCUUCAAACAGGUUGUCUGGGACGAUUCCAAAGAGAUUGGCAGAUCUGCCAUUUCUUUCGUCCUUCAAUGUUUCUGAUAAUCAGCUCCAUGGUCAGAUACCUCAAGGCAAACAGUUCAACACAUUUGGAAAUGAUUCAUAUGAAGGAAACAAGGGAUUAUGUGGAUUUCCGGUCUCGAAAGGUUGCAACAUCAUUGAGCCAGCACCUCCAAAUGUGCUUGAGAAAGAUGGCUCAAAAUCAAACAUUACUUUUGGUUGGAAAGUGGUGUUGAUAGGUUAUGGAUGCGGAGUGGUGUUGGGAACGUCCGUGGGAUAUGUUGUUUUCCAAACUGGUAAGCCGAAAUGGUUGGUGAAUUUUGUUGAAAUCCAACAUGAGAAGAAGCGAAGACGAAAGUCAAAGGAUGGCAGCCGCAGCAAUGGACGAAGAAGGAUCUAGUUAGUGGAAAUGAUGUUCAAGUGUUGAUGUUGUAUCUUCAUAAUUUCUUGUUUUGAAGUCUUUCAAUUUUUUUCCUAAGGUGAAAGGAUGCAUUGCCAUGCAUCUGUCUUUAUUUUUGUAACAAUCCAUCUAUAUUUCACUGCAUUACGUAGUAUUUGUAAGGGUUUGUUUUAAAUGUAACAUUUUGUAUGGUUCAACUAUUUAUGUCUUCUUUCAUGACUUUCAUUUUUGAGUCUCAAUAAUCUCUGCAUUCAAAAUUUUGUCAUCUUUUUCUCGAGUUAAACACAGUCAAUACUAUAAAAAUUUCUUCUGUGUGGAAAAUAAUUUGGCAUUCUGCAAAUUUCCACAAUGCUUAUGGAUUUCCUUUGGUUGACAGCUACACAUAUAAAGGAAAGAAACAAGACCAUGUCAAAAUUUCCAAAAAUUAGUCAUUCAUUUUUUAAAAUUGUAAAUUCUCAAAUAGUGCAAAUUAGUCCUAAAACUCAAGUUUUGAAAUCUUUACAAUUUAACCCCUUAUAGUUUCAAACUUUACUAUUUUAUGCUCAACUUUCUAAAUCUUCAUAUUUCAUGAUCAUAUAAUUCACUACAUCAAUAUUUCAGAUUUCACUACUCAAACCCUUACUUCAUUUUGGUCCUUACUUCAAUUUUAUCAAAUUACAUCAUUUUUCAAUUUGAAUGCAUUGAUGUGAAAUUGAGGGACCACUAAACAAUGUUGAUGCGAGUUUAGGCAAAAUUGGUGGAUCCCAUCUCCUUAGUAAUUUCUUUGUGGAAGUACCUACUUUCACAAUGCAAACUUGGAUAGUUUGUGGUGGACGAUGAUGAAUCAUUUCACAAUCAAACACACCAUUUUUAAACACAAAAUUAACGAUAUAUUGAAAUCAUUAUUGAAAUUAUAAUCAAAAUUAAUACAUGUUCUUUUUAUUAGCUUAAGGGCGUAAAAACCCUUCAAAAUUUUCAAAAAAUAAAAUAAAAUUUAAGUCCCUCUUUUUUUACACUCAAUUAAGCACUUAAAAACUUUUAAAAUGUAUCAAAAAUAUCUUUACACUUCUUCAAAAAAAGCAAUUAAACUCCUAUUUUAUUUCGCUCAAUUGGGUACUUGAACUUUCAUAAUGCAUCAAAAAGGCCUUAAAUUUUUUUCAAAGAAACAAUUAAGCCUCUAUUUUUUUCCCACUUAAUUGGGUACUUGAACUUUCAUAAUACAUCAAAAAGGCCUUAAAUUUUUUUCAAAAAAGCAAUUAAGCCCCUACUCUUAUUAAAAAUUAGAAAAAAAUCAUAAAAAUAAAAAAAAUUAGAAAAAAAUUAUUAAAUUUUAAUAAAAUUUAAAAACUUAUUAAAAAUUAGAAUUUUUUUAAGAAAAAUCGUCAAAAAAUAAAAAAUUAUAAAAUUUUAUAAAAAUCAUAAAAAAAUAUAAAAUCCAUCAAAAAGUCCUUUUAACAAUUAACUUUAACUAUUGAUCGUUAAAGUUAACGACCUCUAGUUUUUUCAAUUAAAGUCAUUAUGUGUCGCAACUCAGCAUGACAUGUAGCGAAAACAGAUAAAAAAGUAAAAAUCAAUAAAAGUUAUAGAAAAAUUAUAAAAUAUUUCUUUUGGUACAAUAAUUUUUAUAAAAAUUUUUUUACAAAAUUUAUAAUUCUUUACAUUUUGUAUAAUUUUCUUAUAACUUUAUAAAAUUUUAUAAUUUUUUAUAUUUCUAUAUAUUUUAUAAUUUUAUAAAAUUUUUAUAAAAUUUUACAAUUUUACAAUUUUUAAUAUUUUAUUUUUUAUUAUAAUUUAAUAAUAUUAUUGAUUUUAUUGAUUUUAAUUUUUUUUCUAAUUUUUAAUAAAAGUAGGGGCUUAAUUUAUUUUUUAAAAGUUUGAGGGUGUUUUUGAUGCAUUUUGAAAGUUCAAGUACCCAAUUGAGUGCAAAAAAGAAAGUAGGGGCUUAAUUGCUUUUUUUGAAAAAUGUUUGAGGGCCUUUUUGGUUUAUUUUGAACGUUCAAGUACCCAAAUGAGUGCAUAAAAAAAACAGGGGUUUAGUUGCUAUUUUUGAAAAAGUUUGAGGGAUUUUUGCACCCUUAAACCUCUUUUCUUUUUCUAAAUUUAAUUUAGAACCAACUUUGUGUAAAGACUUGGGAAAUUUAAUUAGCAAAAAUUCUUUCCAUGUAAAAAUUUCCCCUAUUUCUUGUUUGAAUUUAAAGCAAUACAAUAUUUUUCUAGCAAGUAACAGAAAAUGACUGUCAAUUCAUUCUAAGCAAUACAAAAUCUCCAGUCUGGUGGAAAAUUUGUUUCUUAGAUACUAUUAUUCAACUUUUAAGGCAUAAGUUUGAAUAUAGCUAGGGACUAAAAUUUUAAAGUGUUGUUUACUACACACUUAGGGACCAUAUAUGUAUAUAUAUAUAUUCCAGUCUGGGUCUUUGUCGUGUUUUGUUGGUUGGCUAUGGCCUUGUUGUUGUUUCCACUGCCUGUGGUCUUUGUUUCUAAGUCAUAUGUGGCCUUAGUUGCUAAUUUAAAGGGAGUGAAUAGAGCACCAUUUUCUUCUUCUGCGUGGAAAAUAAGUUGGCAUUAUGCCAAUUUCCACAUUCAUACAUAUAAAGGAAGCAAGACCAAGUCAAUAUACUUUCUAAUCUCAUCACUUCUUCUUUCUUUAGGGAGUUCAAGUGAAAUACAAAUUUUUCCACAUCCAAUCUCAUAAAUAAUCCAUCUUUGAACUUUCACAAAAAAAUAAUAAAUACCCAUUCACUUUAAUUCUACUAUUCUUAAAACAUUAAAGUUUUGUGGAAAAUAUGCUUCUUGGAUAAAAUUAUUCAACACACAUGCCUUGAAUUUUAUGGAAUAAAAUAAAUGAAUAUAGGCCACACAUGCUUUGAAUUUUUAAGUAGUCCACAAUUUUGUUCGUUUGUGUGCAAAAUUCUACAUUGCUUGACAGCCAUACAUACUAAGUAAAUAGACACCCACAUUGUUUACGUAUUAUGAGGAAGAAGACUAAGUCAAUCUACUUUGUAAUCUCAUCAAUUUUAAUUUUCUUAGUUAUUUAGGGAGUGUUGACAUCAUUUUUGAUGAAAACGGGGUCGACUUGGGUUUUGGGAAAAUGAAAACAAAAACGGGAGUCGCCACCAAUCCCUUUUUUAUGAGGUGUGAUUGGAUUACCUCGAAAAAUGGUUGUUUUUAAUAAACGGUUUGAUUUUAUUAAAACAACGGUUUUGGUCCACGAAAUUUAGAAAACGGGUUCGGGAGUCGGUUACGCACGAGGAAGGAUUAGCACCCUCGAUACGCCCAAAAUUGGUACCUAGUUGAUUACUUAAUGUCUUAAUGUCGAAAAUUGAGAAUUUAAAAGAAUUUUUAAAAAAAUACGAUCCUUGUAUUAAAAUGUUAAGAAAAGGAGGAUAUUUCACGUUAUUCGAGAAAAAGAAUCAUAUUCAGUAAGUUAGAAUACAAUAUCUCAAAUUCUCGAUACGCGAAUGAAAAAGUUUAUUUAAGAAAUUUUAGUCAUCUCGAAUUUAAAAAUGAGAUCAUAACCAGUAAGUUAGGAUGCGACCCCUUUUUUAAAAAUUCGAGAUCAUUUAAAACUUGAUUUUGAAAAGAUUCGUGUAUUUAGAUUCAUCGAGAAAAUCGAAACCCAGUAAGUUAGGGCACGAUUUUCUCGAAUCCAAACACGAAAUGCCAUUUAAAAAAAUUGUUACAUCAAGUAAGAUAAAACACAAAAUCAUAGUGAAAGCAAAUUACAUUUUUAUGUAUGGUAACUAAUAAAAGGUCAACAAAAUAAAAAAUAAACAAACCAGAAUAAAGACAUUUAAGCAAAUAAUAACGAACAUGUAGAUAAAUAAAUAAAUCAACAUGAAAUGAUAAUUAUAAUAAUGAAUAAAAUGGUGAUAUAUAUACGUAUGUAUGUUAGAAACAAAUUAUACGAGGUAAAAACAUAAAGUUAAAUACAAAAAAAGAAGUAUAUAUGAUUAUAAAAUACAUGUAUAUACAUAAAUAAGGAAAUAGAAAUGCUCAUAAAAUAAAAAAUAAAAAUAUUCGUAUGCACGUGUAUUAUAUUGUAAUUGCGUAGGUAUAAAUAUUAUGUAGUAUAUGUAUAUAAAUAUAUAGAUAUUAAAUAAAUAAAAAGCAGGGUAGAUAUAAAAAAAUAUUGAAUAUAUAUAAUAUAAUAUUAUUAUUAGAUAUAUAUUAAAGUUUAUAAAUAUAUAGAUUCGCAAUAAUUUUAGACGUAUAUAUUAUAGUAUAUAAAAAUAAUAAUAUAAUAAUAAAUAAAUAAAUGAGCAAAAGAAAAAACAUGCUUAAAAGGGACUUAAAUCGAAAUAAAACAAAGUUUCUGGGCUAAUUUAAGAAUAAAAAAAAAGGCGGAGGGACCUAAUUGCAAGCAGGCGUAAAAAGGAGGGACCGAAAGGGUAAUUAAACCCCCAAUGUCAGAACGACGCCGUUCCAGGAAGGAGGGCGCAGAUGAUCGAAGGACCAAAUCGAAAAACAAACUAAAUUAAUAAGCCAAUUUGCAAAAAAUUAAAAAGGAUUAAAUUUAAAAUAAUUAAAACUGCGGAGGGGCUAAACGAGCAAUUAGCCCCUUCGCAAGAAAACACGCGGAUCCUUCGGGUCGGAGCGGGUCGGGUCGCGGGUCCAAAGCGAAACGACGUCGUUUUGGGCGUUAUGGAGCUAGGCCAAAACGACGUCGUUUCACACGCCUAUAUAUUCAAAAAAAAUUUUCAAAAAAUUUCAUUCUUCUCCCCUUUUCAAAAAAAAACCGAAAUGCUCUCUCUCCCUCCCCUUUUCUCUCUGAACGCCGGCCAAAGAUCCGGCCGAGAACCACCGUACCGGCCGCCGGUCGCCGGCGCCGGCGCCGCCGUAAGCGGCGGUCGGAAGUCGAAAAGUUAGCCUUUUAAAAUCACGUUUCGAAAACCCUUCCAAAAAUCGAGUCCUUAAAGCCCUAAGGCCGAGAGAGGGAAUCUCAAAAAAUGAAACGCCUUCCUCGUCCGUUCUCAACGACUCGGACUCCGGCGACGCUACAACCGCGACGAUUCAGGUAAGUUUUGUUUAUUAAUCCUUAAGCUUAUAUUAAACAUAAAAGAAAAGGAAAGCAAAACCGAAUGGAAUCGAAAAAAGCUAAAAAAUUUCACCUUUCAACUGAUUUUUUUCUUUAUUUCUUUGAUCUUUUUUUUUUUUUUAAAAAAGAGUCCUCAUUACAUGUAUUUGUUUCGGCUUUUAUAGCCAAUUCCUAGUCUAUGCUUCUGUCUUGCUUGCUUUGAUUUAUUUACAGGGAUGGAGGUGACGGUGGCAGUUGGCGGUGGUUGCUGGCAGAGCAGGUGGGCAGAAUGACCGAAGGUCAGAAGACCCUAGGAGCGGCGCCUAGGGCUCCUCUGUUUUCUGCUAGGUCUUGUUUUGGGUUUUGGGCUGAGGGUAGGCUUAUUGGGUUAUUGGGCUAAGGGUUGUAAUUUGGACUUUUAUUUUUGUGUUUAAUUGGGCCUCGGGCAAAAUGGCCUGUAACAGGGAGUUCAAAUGAAAUACAAAAUUGAAGGCAAUAUUCCACAGUGGAUGCAAGAGGUCGGGAAUGGCUCUUUGACUUACUUAAAUAUAUCUCACAACUCUUUGACAGAAGUUGAGCACUUUCCGUGGAAGAAUAUUGAAGUUCUUGACUUAAGCUCCAAUUUGAUCCGUGGAAAUCUUCCGAUUCCUGCUUCGACGAUCAAUGUCUUUCUGAUCUCAAAUAAUAGUUUCAAUGGAGAAGUCUCUUCUUUAAUAUGCAAUGUCACUUUUCUUCAAAUUCUUGAUUUGUCCCACAAUAACUUGAGUGGAACAAUUCCGAAAUGUUUUGGAAAUUUGAGCAACAGCCUUGAAUUCUUGAAUCUAAAGAAGAACAAGUUUUAUGGGACGAUUCGUCCAACAUUUGCUAAGUGAUGCCAAUUGAGUAAUUUCAACUUAAAUGGAAAUUUGUUAGAAGGGCCAUUGACACCAUCCAGCCUUAAUUGUAGAGGUCUGGAAGGGCUAGAUCUUGGAAACAACAAGAUCAAUGAUACAUUUCCUCAUUGGUUGGGAAGUCUUCCACAGCAACAAGUUCUUGUAUUGAAGUCAAAUCAUAUGCAUGGUUCCUUAUAUGUCAAUAGCUCCAUGCCUAGCCCUUUUUUCUCUAAAAUCCAAAUUUCUGACCUCUCAAGUAAUUAUUUUUCUGGACCCCUACCAGUGAGAUACAUCAACAGCUUCAAGGCUAUCAUAAAUGUUGGUGUUAGAACAGAAACAAACAAGCUUGACUUUAGUCUUGUGCAGCAAGUCUCGAUGCUUGCUGAGCAAACAAUCGAGUUUGAGAAUAAAAUGAGGAAGAAAAGUAAUGAAAAUUGAGAGAACUUGAUGAACAAAUUUGAUUUCAUUCAUAAGUAAACAGCGGCAUGAUACCAAUACAUAAACCAAGCUCUAAGCUUGUCAAAAUCAAUAAGCAUUCACCUAAUUGUUACCUAACACCACUAAGCAUUGAAACUUGAAGUCAUUAACUUGUGCAUACAAGCAAAGCUGAAUUAACAGCUCAUACAUCUGCAAAUUACAUCAAUCAUCUACCAAACAUAGUUCUAAAUGAACUAAAUUACAUUUCAUUAACUAGAAAUUACAAAAUGAACAAAACUAGAUCAAUUGAGCUUGCAGCAGUAGCUUCUGCCUUGCUCGAUCUUCAUGGUCUGCAUGUUGGUUGGUGUGGCAGCAUGCUGGCCAACUUCAUCAAUAAAUCUAGAGCAGAUUGGGAGUACAAUGUCGUACAUGGGGGUGUAUGAUCGGAAUAGUAGUGGCUUCUAUACCUGUUCCAUUGGAAUUGUUAUGAAAGGACAAGAUAUGGAAUUGGUGAAAAUUUUCACCAUGUGGAUGAUCAUUGAUCUAUCAAACAAUCAGUUUGAAGGGGGUAUUCCAAAGGUUAUUGGGAAGCUUAACUUACUGAAAGGGCUCAACCUUUCUCAUAAUAACCUUAAUGGUGGUAUCCCCACCUCAAUAGGGAAUUUGACAAGUCUUGAAUGGUUGGACCUAUCUUCAAACAGGUUGUCUGGGACGAUUCCGAAUAGAUUGGCAGAUCUGCCAUUUCUUUCGUCCUUCAAUGUUUCUGAAAAUCAACUCCAUGGUCAGAUUCCUCAAGGGAAACAAUUCAACACAUUUGGAAAUGAUUCAUAUGAAGGGAAGAAGGGACUAUGCGGGUUUCUGGUCUCGAAAGGUUGCAACAUCAUUGAGCCAGCACCUCUAAAUGUGCUUGAAAAAGAUGGCUCAAAAUCAAACAUUACUUUUGGUUGGAAAGUGGUGUUGAUAGGUUAUGGAUGUGGAGUAGUGUUUGGAAUGGUCGUGGGAUAUGUUGUUUUCCAAACUGGUAAGCCGAAAUGGUUGGUGAAUUUGGUUGAAAUCCAACAUGAGAAGAAGCGAAGAAGAAAGUCAAAGGAUGGCAGUCGCAGCAAUGGACGAAGAAGGAUCUAGUUAGUGGAAAUGAUGUUCAAGUGUUGAUGUUGUAUCUUUAUAAUUUCUUGUUUUGAAGUCUUUCAAUUUUUUUCCUAUGGUGAAAGGUUGCAUUGGCAUGCAUCUGUCUUGAUUAUUGUAACAAUUCAGCUAUAUUUCACUGCAUUACGUACUAUUUAUAAGGGUUUGUUUUAAAUGUAACAUUUUGUAUGGUUUAACUAUUUAUGUCUUUUUUCAUGACUUUCAUUUUGGAGUCUGAAUAAUCUCUGCAUUCAAGAUUUUGUCAGCUUAUUAAUUGGUGGAUCAAUAAUCUUCAUGCUCAUCUCAUCAUCUUUUUCUUGAGUUAAACACAGUCAAUACUAUAACAAUUUCUUCUGUGUGGAAAAUAAUUUAGCAUUCUGCAAAUUUCCAUAAUGCUUGUGGAUUACCUUUGGUUGACAACUAUACAUAUAAAGGAAGGAAACAAGACUAUGUCAAAAUUUCCAAACAUUAGUCAUUCAUUUUUGAACAGUUAAACUUUCGUAUUCUAUUUUUCAAAAUUGUAAAUCCUCGAAUAAUGUAAAUUAGUCCUAAAACUCAAGUUUUGAAAUCUUUACAAUUUAACCCCUUAUAGUUUUGUUGGUUGGCAAUGGCCUUGUUGUUGUUUCCACUGUCUGUGGUCUUUGUUUCUAAGUUAUAUGUGGCCUUGUUUGCUAGAUCUUAGUUGCUAACUUAAAGGGAGUGAAUAGAGCACCAUUUUCUUCUUCUGCGUGGAAAAUAAAUUGGCAUUAUGCCAAAUUCCACAUUCAUACAUAUAAAGGAAGCAAGGCCAAGUCAAUAUAUUUUGUAAUCUCAUCAAUUCUUCUUCAUUCUUUGGGGAGUUCAAGUGAAAUACAAAUUUUUCCACAUCCAAUCUCAUAAAUAAUCCUUCUUUGAACUUUCACAAAAAAAUAAUAAAUACCCAUUCACUUUAAUUCUAGUAUUCUUAAAUCAUUAAAGUUUUGUGGAAAAUAUGCUUCUUGGAUAAAAUUAUUCAACACACAUGCCUUGAAUUUUAUGCAAUAAAAUAAAUGAAUAUAGGCCACACAUGCUUUGAAUUUUUAAGUAGUCCACAAUUUUGUUCGUUUGUGUGCAAAAUUCUACAUUGCUUGACAGCCAUACAUACUAAGUAAAUAGACACCCACAUUGUUUACGUAUUAUGAGGAAGAAGACCAAGUCAAUCUACUUUGUAAUCUCAUCAAUCUUAAUUUUCUCAGUUAUUUAGGGAGUUCAAAUGAAAUACAAAAUUUUGGAAAAAAAAUGUAUCCAAUUUUGUGAAUGAAAAAUAUAUGGUAAAAAGGGUUUGUUAUGGAUACUUCGGCCCCUGGUAUCAAUACUCAGGGUAAGUUUAUCGAUAGGUUAUGGAUGCGGGGUAGUGUUUGGAAUGGCCAUGGGAUGUGUUGUUUUCCAAACCGGUAAGGCGAAAAGGUUGGUGAAUUUGGUUGAAGACCAACAUGAGAAGAGGCGAAGAAGAAAGCCAAAAUAUAGCACUCGCAUCAAUGGAUGAAGAAGGAUCUAGUUGGUGCGAAUGAAGUUAAAGCAUUUCUGCUGUGUCUUCAUAAUUUCUUGUUUAGUACUCUGUCAGAAAAUUUUUCCUAUGGUGAAAAGUUGCAUUGCUAUGUGUCUGUUUUUAUGAUUGUACCAAUUCCUCUGUAUUUCAUUGCAUUUCGUACUGUUUGUAAGGGUUUAGUUCGAGUGGAACAUCUUGUAUGGUGCAACUAUGUAUGUCUUCUUUCUUGAAUUUCAAUUUUAGUAAACAUUAUACUGCUCACCAUAAAAAAAAUACAUGUAGAAUUACAAAAGAUUCAAUUAUUCAAGCUGUUUGAGUUGCAUUUAUAAACACGUGACGAUGAGAAUUCAUGAACAUAAGGUAUGGUUUGAGCCCUUUUGCCAUAUGCAUUUAUGUUGCAGAUGUUCAAACAUGGAAUAAUUCAACCUGCCAUAAGCAAGUGUGAAGUCAAUAGACAAUUGAUAGUCUUAGUCUUUGUCUUUUUUUGUCUGAGUUAAAGUGUAGUCAAUAGACAAUUGAUAGUCUUAGCCCUUUUUGUGGAGUUAAAUUUAUAGUCAAUAGACAAUUGGGACCAAACUUGACCUGUUAUAAGGAAGAAGACUUUGUAAUCUCACCAAUGUUAAUUAUUUUACUUCUUUGGUAAAAAAAAGUAAUUAAUUUUAUGAAUGAAAAAUAUACGGUAAAGAGGAAGUAGUUGUUGAUCACUAAUAACAUGAUGAUUGUGGAAAUACAAAAAAUCCCAUAUAUGUGUUGAAUUCUGCAUAAUGUAAAUGUCCCGCAUUGCAUGUGAAUUCUGCAAUAGACCAAACUUUAUGUGUUAUAGUCCUUUAAACUGAGUUAAUGAAAAGUAACCAUUCUUAUCAAAAUUAGUUAUACUCUUAAUUUAUAACAAAGAAAGGAGUAAUUUGAGUUUAACUCAAAGGUUAAUAUGUCAUCAAUGGGCGAUGGCGUGGUGCUACCAUGUCAGCCAUUAUUUUCUUCUUUGAGUUAAGGUGAUUUCACCAAUUUAAGUUUACUUUUUUACUUCAAUUUAGGUUUAUGCUUAUUACCUUCGAAGAUUCUAAGUGGGUGCCACAACCAAAGGGUGAGUAAAAAGGGUUAAAAAUAAUUUUUUUAAAAAUAUUUUUAUUUUUAUUAAAAAUUUAGAAUUAGAAUUAGAUAAAUUUUGUAAAUGUUAAGGGCUAACUUUAUUAAUUUUUUUUUCAUAAUUCGAACUAAAAUGACAAAUUUUGUAAAAAGCGCUAAAUUAGUUGAAUUUUUUAUAUUUAGGAUUAAAUUGAUAGAAUGUGUAAAUAUUAGAGGUUAAAAUUGUUAUUAGAUCAAUAAAAAACCCAUAUCAGCUUUCCGUCACUCAUCUAUCUACAACUAAAGGGAGAGCGAUUAAAAAAUUAGAAUGUUUGGAUCAUUUUUCUAAUUAAAGUCAUAGUGUAGGAGGCAAUUAAAUGCAUGCGCCACUCACGGUGGACGGUUUUGACAGCUGAUGACGUUGACAGUGCUCUUAAUCUGAGAAACGUGGAGGUACAUUUUCAAGUUUCAAAAAUUUUCUGUUUAUUGUAUUUUUUUAUUAUUCUUUUUCCUUUUUAGUUGAAAAUAGUGCUAAUUAAUGUUAUUUGUUUGACUAAUGUGAUAAUUUCUACUUCAUGUGUAUUAAUCCAUAAAUUUUAACAAGAGUGGAAUUUUGAGAACUUAGUUUUGGAAGUUUGAAUCUUAAGUUUAACCUGCUGCUUUAGAUUUUGCAUUUUGGUUAACUGGCUUGUGUUAUGUGUUUCUCUGGCAUCAGCCGAUAUGUGGAUUUGCCCCUCGUGAUGCACUACGAUUCAAGAAAGCUGCUGGGCAUAAGGAUUUGUUCUACAUUGAUGACAAAGAUGUGGAGUUUAAAGAAGUAGGAACUUAUCAACAAUAUUCGAGAUUCUGUUAUAUGUUGCCUUAUGUAUGUAGGUUCUUGAGUCACCUUUGCCAAGAGCACCACGUGAAUUUAUAUAAGUAUACACAUUUUUAUGAAAUACAAGAUCUUGCUAAAAGAAAAAGCAUAUAAAAGUAUAAACGUUUUUAUGAAAUACAAGAUUUUGCUAAAAGAAAAAGCAUCCAAUUUUAAGAAUGAAAAAUAUAUGGUAAAAGCAUCCAUAACUUUUCAAUGUAAAAGACAAAAAAGACUGUAACACCAAUGUUGUGGUAUUAUUUGUUGCCUAUAAAUACCAUUCCUAUCCUUCUUCUUCCUCUACAAACAUAACAUGGCCCCCUAUCUCUUUCUCUGCCUAUUCCUCUUCUUUCCCCAUCUUUAUGCUUCUUUUUCUUCUUCAGGAUCUCACUCCUGCUCUUCACUAAUCCAAUUUAAGGACUCUUUUUCCAUCACAGAGGAUGCUUCCUGGUAUUGCGAUGAGAUUGCUGGCCUUAAAUCUCAUCCCAAGACAGAUUCAUGGAAGGAGGGUACAGAUUGCUGCUCAUGGGAUGGGGUCACUUGUGACCACCUAAAUGCUCAUGUUAUUGCCCUUGACUUGAGCUGCAGUUGGCUAUCUGGCAACUUCCCUUCCAAUACCACUCUCUUCCUUCUUCCUCACCUUCAAAAACUCAACCUUGCCUACAAUCAUUUCAAUCAUUCCAAAAUUCCAUCCGAGUUCGGUCGGGUUUACAAGCCUAUUCUACCUCAACCUUUCUAAUACAUGGUUUGCAGGAGAAGUCCCAUCCCAAGUCUCGCACCUGUCAAAAUUGGUUUCACUUGAUCUCUCCUCUGAGUUUGGUGAACAAACAAUUGACAAACAUGCUCUGGAGGGACUUGUUCACAACCUAACCGAGGUCAGACAUCUGUUUUUGGAUGGAAUGGACAUGUCUUCUGUUAAUGCUCAUGUCUUCAUGAAUCUAUCCUCUUCUCUAAGGUCUCUCAGUCUUGCUUAUUGUGAUUUGCAAGGAAAAUUCCCAAAAAACAUUUUUGAUUUGCCAAACCUCAAUCUCCUCAACUUGAGAGGCAACCAAAACCUCAAUCUUGAUCCUUUGAAGUUCAAUCGGAGCAGCAAUCUUGAACAUUUGGAUCUGUCGUGGAUGUCCUCCUCUACAGAAUCCAUUGAUUCAGUUGAUAAUCUACAGGCCUUAAAGUACUUAGCUCUAUCAGGAAAUUCUUUCUUUCAACGAUUGUCUGUCUCAAUCACAAAAUUAUCUUAUUUGGAGUACUUGACACUUGAAGGCGCAAAUUUUUUUGGAGGAUUGCCUGACUCGAUGGGGAAUCUCGUGUCCUUGAAGUGUUUAGACUUGAGAUCAAACAAAUUGAGUGGACAAAUUCCAUUGUCAAUUCUAAACCUAACGCAGUUGGAAUACUUGGAUAUAUCUGAAAAUUCAUUAGAAGGUUCCAUUCCAGAUGAGGUAACCGCUUUUCCUAAUCUAAAACAUUUAGACUUAUCUGACAAUUUACUCAAUGGAACACUUCCGUCAUGGUUGUGUACUGUUCCCUCCUUAAAGAUAAUAUUUCUCUUUCAAAAUCAAUUCAGUGGGCAUAUCAAAGAAUUCCAAUCCAAAUCACUAGAAUUGAUAGUGUUACAGAAUAAUAAACUCCAAGGUCCUCUUCCAUCUUCAAUAUUCCAACUUCUCAAUCUUACAUCGCUUGCUUUAUCCUCAAAUAAUCUUAGUGGUGUCAUAGAGUUUAGCAUGUUCUCAAACCUUCCAAAUCUCGAAUAUCUUGACCUUUCAUAUAACAGCCUAUCCUUAACAUCUAAUACUACUUCUACUGUUAAUCAUAUAUUGCCUAAUCUUACAGACGUACUUUUGUCAUCUUGCAAUCUUAGUGAAUUCCCCCAAUUUUUGAAAGGGCUUAAAAGUUUGGAAAGGUUAGACCUCUCUUGCAACAAAAUUGAAGGCAAGAUUCCACAGUGGAUGCAAGAGGUGGGGAAUGUCUCUUUGACUUACUUCAACGUAUCUCACAACUCUUUGACAGAAGUUGAGCACUUUCCAUGGAAGAAUAUUGCAUUUCUUGACUUAAGCUCCAAUUUGGUCAGUGGAAAUCUUCCGAUUCCAGCUUCGACGAUCAGAGUCUUUCUGAUCUCAAAUAAUAGUUUCAAUGGAGAGGUCUCUUCUUUAAUAUGCAAUGCCAGUUCUCUUCAAAUUCUUGAUUUGUCCCACAAUAACUUGAGUGGAACAAUUCCGCAAUGUUUCGGAAAUUUGAGCGACAGCCUUGAAUUCUUGAAUCUGAAGAAGAACAAGUUUUAUGGGACGAUUCCUCCAACAUUUGCAGAGGGAUGCCAGUUGACUAAUUUCAACUUAAAUGGAAAUCUGUUAGAAGGGCCUUUGACACCAUCCAUCCUUAAUUGUAGAGGUCUGGAAGUGCUAGAUCUUGGUAACAACAAGAUCAAUGAUACAUUUCCUCAUUGGUUGGGAAAUCUUCCAUAUUUGCAAGUUCUUGUAUUGAAGUCAAAUCAUAUGCAUGGUUCUUUGCGUGUCAAUAGCUCCAAGUCUAGCCCCUUUUUCUCUAAAAUCCAAAUUUUUGACCUCUCAAGUAAUUAUUUUUCUGGACCCCUACCUGUGAGGUACAUCAACAGCUUCAAGGCUAUCAGAAAUCUAGAGAAGAUUCGUAGUACAGUGUCGUACAUGGGGGUGAAUGGUCGGAAUGGUAGUGGCUUCUAUACCUAUUCCAUUGGAAUUGUUAUGAAAGGACAAGAUAUGGAAUUGGUGAAAAUUUUCACCAUGUGGAUGAUCAUUGAUCUAUCAAACAAUCAGUUUGAAGGGGGUAUUCCAGAGGUUUUUGGAAAGCUUAACUUACUGAAAGGGCUCAACCUUUCUCAUAAUAACCUUAGUGGUGGUAUCCCCACCUCAAUAGGGAAUUUGACAAGUCUUGAAUGGUUGGACCUAUCUUCAAACAGGUUGUCUGGGACGAUUCCAAAUAGAUUGGCAGAUCUGGCAUUUCUUUCGUCCUUCAAUGUUUCUGAAAAUCAACUCCAUGGUCAGAUUCCUCAAGGAAAACAAUUCAACACAUUUGGAAAUGAUUCAUAUCAAGGGAAUAAGGGACUAUGUGGGUUUCCAGUCUCGAAAGGUUGCAACAUCAUUGAGCCAGCACCUCCAAAUGUGCUUGAAAAAGAUGGCUCAAAAUCAAACAUUACUUUUGGUUGGAAAGUGGUGUUGAUAGGUUAUGGAUGCGGAGUGGUGUUCGGAAUGUCCGUGGGAUAUGUUGUUUUCCAAACUGGUAAGCCGAAAUGGUUGGUGAAUUUGGUUGAAAUCCAACAUGAGAAGAUGCGAAGAAGAAAGUCAAAGGAUGGCAGUCGCAGCAAUGGACGAAGAAGGAUCUAGUUAGUGGAAAUGGUGUUCAAGUGUUGAUGUUGUAUCUUCAUAAUUUCUUGUUUUGAAGUCUUUCAAUUUUUUUCCUAUGGUGAAAGGUUGCAUUGCCAUGCAUCUGUCUUUAUUAUUGUAACAAUUCAUCUAUAUUUCAUUGCAUUACGUCCUAUAACAUUUUGUAUGGUUCAACCAUUUAUAUCUUCUUUCAUGACUUCCAUUUUUGAGUCUCAAUAAUCUCUGCAUUCAAGAUUUUGUCAGCUUAUUAAUUGGUGGAUCAAUAAUCUUCAUGCUCAUCUCAUCAUCUUUUUCUCGAGUUUCUUCUGUGUGGAAAAUAAUUUGACAUUCUGCAAAUUUCCACAAUGCUUGUGGAUUACCUUUGGUUAACAGCUAUACAUAUAAAGGAAGAAAACAAGACCAUGUCCAAAUUUCCAAAAAUUAGCCAUUGAUUUUUGAACAGUUAAACUUUCGUAUUCUAUUUUUUAAAAUUGUAAAUUCUCAAAUAAUGUAAAUUAGUCCUAAAACUCAAGUUUUGAAAUCUUUACAAUUUAACCCCUUAUAGUUUCAAACUUUACUGUUUUAUACUCAACUUUCUAAAUUUUCAUAUUUCAUGAUCAUAUAAUUUAGUUACUACAUCAAUAUUUGAGAUUUCACUACUCAAACCCUUACUUCAUUUCGGUCGUUACUUCAAUUUUAUCAAAUUACAUCAUUUUUCAAUUUGAAUGCAUUGAUGUGAAAUUGAGGGACCACUAAACAAUGUUGAUGAGAGUUUAGGCAAAAUUGGUGGAUCCGAUCUCCUUAGUAAUUUCUUUGUGGAAGUACCUACUUUCACAAUGCAAACUUGGAUAGUUUGUGGUGGACGAUGAUGAAUCAUUUCACAGUCAAACACAUAAUUUUUAAACACAAAAUUAACGAUAUAUUGAAAUCAUUAUUGAAAUUAUAAUCAAAAUUAAUACAUGUUCUUUUUAUUAGCUUAAGGGCGUAAAAACCCUUCAAAAUUUUCAAAAAAAAAAAAAAUUUAAGUCCUUUUUUUCUACUCAAUUGAGCACUUAAACUUUUAAAAUGUAUCAAAAAUAUCUUUACACUUCUUCAAAAAAAGCAAUUAAACCCCUUUUUUUUUCCGCUCAAUUGGGUACUUGAACUUUCAUAAUGCAUAAAAAAAACCUUAAAUUUUUUUUUCAAAGAAACAAUUAAGCCUCUAUUUUUUUCCCACUCAAUUGGGUACUUGAACUUUCAUAAUGCAUCAAAAAGGCCUUUAUUUUUUUUCAAAAAAGCAAUUAAGCCCCUACUCUUAUUAAAAAUUAGAAAAAAUCAUAAAAAUAAUAAAGUUCAAGUACCCAAUUGAGUGCCAAAAAAUAAAGUAGGGGCCUAAUUGCUUUUUUUUGAAAAUGUUUGAGGGUCUUUUUGAUGUAUUUUGAAAGUUCAAGUACCCAAAUGAGUGCAUAAAAAGAACAGGGGUUUAGUUGCUAUUUUUGAAAAAGUUUGCACCCUUAAACCUCUUUUCUUUUUCUUUUUCAUAUGUGGCCUUGUUUGCUACAACUUAGUUGCUAAGUUAAAGGGAGUGAAUAGAGCACCAUUUUCUUCUUCUGCGUGGAAAAUUAAGUUGGCAUUAUGCCAAUUUCCACAUUCAUACAUACAAAGGAAGCAAGAGCAAGUCAAUAUACUUUGUAAUCUCAUCAAUUCUAAUUUUUAAAGUGUUGUUUACUACACACUUAGGGACCAUAUAUGUAUAUAUAUACAUUGCAGUCUGGGUCUUUGUCGUGUUUUGUUGGUUGGCUAUGGCCUUCUUGUUGUUUCCACUGUCUGCGGUGUUUGUUUCUAAGUCAUAUGUGGCCCUGUUUGCUACAACUUAGUUGCUAAGUUAAAGGGAGUGAAUAGAGCACCAUUUUCUUCUUCUGCGUGGAAAAUAAGUUGGCAUUAUGCCAAAUUCCACAUUCAUACAUAUAAAGGAAGCAAGACCAAGUCAAUAUACUUUCUAAUCUCAUCACUUCUUCUUUCUUUAGGGAGUUCAAGUGAAAUACAAAUUUUUUCACAUCCAAUCUCAUAAAUAAUCCGUCUUUGAACUUUCACCAAAAAAUAUUAAAUACCCAUUCACUUCAAUUCUACUAUUCUUAAAUCAUUAAAGUUUUGUGGAAAAUAUGCUUCUUGGAUAAAAUUAUUCAACACACAUGCCUUGAAUUUUAUGCAAAUAAAAUAAAUGAAUAUAGGCCACACAUGCUUUGAAUUUUUAAGUAGUCCAUAAUUUUGUUCGUUUGUGUGCAAAAUUCUACAUUGCUUGACAGCCAUACAUACUAAGUAAAUAGACACCCACAUUGUUUACAUAUUAUGAGGAAGAAGACCAAGUCAAUCUACUUUGUAAUCUCAUCAAUCUUAAUUUUUUCAGUUGUUUAGGGAGUUCAAAUGAAAUACAAAAUUUUGAAAAAAAAAUGUAUCCAAUUUUGUGAAUGAAAAAUUUAUGGUAAAAAGGAUUUGGUAUGGAUACUUCAGCCCGGGUAGCAAUACUCAGGGUAAGUUUAUCAAUACAUUGCUUUUGGUUGGAAAGUGGUGUUGAUAGGUUAUGGAUGCGGGGUAGUGUUUGGAAUGGCCAAAAUAUAGCAAUCGCAUCAGUGGAUGAAGAAGGAUCUAGUUGGUGCAAAUGAAGUUAAAGCAUUUCUGCCGUCUCUUCAUAAUUUCUUGUUUGGUAGUCUGUCAGAAAGUUUUUCCUAUGGUGAAAAGUUUGAGUUGCAUUUAUAAAAUUUCCACUGUCAAAAGAUUCGAUUGCACUGCAGGGUAACAUAUUUAAGAUUGGAUUACACUGUCAAAAGAUUGCAGCAACGAUGAGAUUAAUCCAAUUACAGGAAUUGGUAUCCUAAAUGGCUUUUUGGUACGUAGCUUCAUUGACGGUACAAACUAGUUAAAAUUUCCAGCAUUCAUGUGUUUGUUUUCCCUCAAGUAAACGUAGUCAAUACUGCAAAUGGUGUGGAAGUACUGUACAUUGUGGCCCAAAUGUCCAAAAUUUCCACAUUGCAUGUAAAUUAAGUUUGCGUGAGAGAGAUAGGAGGAAGCAACAGCAAGUGUGAAGUCAAUAGACAACUGAUAGUCUUAGUCUUUUUUUGUCGAGUUAAAGUGUAGUCAAUAGACAAUUGAUAGUCUUAGCCCUUUUUGUGGAGUUAAAAGUAUAGUCAAUAAACAAUUGAUAGUUAAAUUUGUAGCAUUCUUCUUCCUCUUUAUUCUUUUGUGUGGAAAAUUAUUUGGGACCAAACUUGACGUGUUAUAAGGAAGAAGACUUUGUAAUCUCAUGAAUGUUAAUUAUUUUACUUCUUUGGUAAAAAAAGUAACCAAUUUUAUGAAUGAAAAAUAUUAUGUGGUAAAAAGGAAGUAGUUGUUCAUCACUAACAAUAUGAUGAUUGUGGAAAUACAAAAAAUCCCAUAUAUGUGUUGAAUUCUGCAUAAUAUAAAUGUCCUGCAUUGCAUGUGAAUUCUGCAAUAGACCAAACUUUACGUGUUAUAGUCCUUUAAACUGAGUUAAUGAAAAGUAACCAUUCUUAUCAAAUUUAGUUAUACUCUUAAUUUAUAACAAAGGAAAGAGUAAUUUGAGUUUAACUCAAAGGUUAAUAUGUCAUCAAUGGGUGAUGGCGUGGCGCUACCAUGUCAGCGAUUAUUUUCUUCUUUGAAUUAAGGUGAUUUCACCAAUUUUAGUUUACUUUUUUACUUCAAUUUAGGUUUAUGCUUAUUAGCUUCAAAGAUUCUAAGUGGGUGCCACAAUCAAAGGGUGAGUAAAAAGGGUUAAAAAUGAUUUUUUUAAAAUUUUUUUAUUUUUAUUAAAAAUUUAGAAUUAGAAUUAGACAAAUUUUGUAAAAGUUAAGGGCUAACUUUAUUGAUUUUUUUUUCAGAAUUCGAACUAAAAUUACAUUUUGUAAAAAGAGCUAAAUUUGUUGAGUUUUUUAUAUUUAGGAUCAAAUUGAUAGAAUGUGUAAAUAUUAGAGGUUAAAUUUGUUAUUAGAUCAAUAAAAAAAACCCACAUUAGCUUUGCGUCACUCAUCUAACGACAACUAAAGGGAGAGUUAUUAAAAUAUUUAAUUUCAAAAAGUUUAGCAACUAAAUUGGAAAAUUUAAUAGUUGGGUGACUAUUUUUGCAGUUUACUACUUUUUUGGUCACCUGACUAUUAAGUGACACUUUUUAGUUGGUAUAAUAAUAAUUUUAGUCCUCAAUUUUUAUACUUUCUGUCAAUUUGACUCUGAUUAUAUAAAAUGAUUACAAAAGUGAAAUUCUUUUUAAAAUUUACAAAAUUCUAAAAAUUAAAAAUUAAAUGAAAGUAGAUAAAAAUUUCAAAUAUAAACAAAGUGAGAGAAAAUGAGGGAAAUAUUAUUUUUAAACCCUCCAACUUUUCUUUGUAUUAUCGUAAAGAAAUAUCUAAUAUCCAUUCUUUUAGAAAACAUAGAAAAAAGUAAAAAAAAAAAGAUUCAGUAAAAUUAUCUGUAUAUAAUCUGCUUUUAUAAUUUGGGUUUUUAAAAAUAAAUUUAAAUGAAUUGAAAAUUCGAAUUGAGUUUGAAAAAUAAAAUUUUGUGGUAUAUUUUAUAUUUUUGCUAGAAAAAUGGCAUCAAAGUUGAUUUUGUAAGCUUUUGUAAUAUCAGUUACGGAUGUUCUUCAAGGGCAUGGAACUCAACUUGAAAAUUUUACUAAUUUGGUUGCAAAAAACAUUGAGGAAGCAUAUAAUGAUCUAACCUUUUUUGUUUUGUUUUGUUUUUAAUUUGUUAUGGGAUUCUAUUGAAUGAUAAUUUUUUUUUUAUUUCCCAUACAUAUUAGUUCUUCAAAAACAACAUAUUCGAGAUUUUAUUUUUCUAGAAUUUUUAUAUAGAAGUUUAUAUUUUUUAAAAUAAAUUUGAGUUUUUUUUAGAAUUUUUAUAUAGAAUCGAGGUAAAUUGGAAAAAAAAAUUAUAAAAACAAAAUACUAAAAUUGUUAUUAUAGCAACUAAAAAGUGUCAUUUAACAAUAGGGUGACCAAAUUGUAACUUUUUUAGUUAAGUGACCAAAACGAAGAUUUACCCAUAGUUUAGUGGCUAAUUAUGUAGUUUACCCUUUCAUAAUUAAAAAAUAGUUGUUAAGUUUUUCUUGUAUUAGAUAACAAUUUAGAUGGUAAAAACCCUCUUUAGUCCCUCUCAAUUUUGAUAUUAAGUAAAAUUGUCCAUUUAAAAAAAAAAUCAAAGCAAUUUAAUAUUUGUUAAUUUCGAAAGUGAGCAACUAAGGACAAUUAAUCACAAUGUCAAUAUUUUCCAUCAAUUGUACAUAUUUUUAUUGGUGUAAUAACAAAUUUAGCUCUCAAAGUUUACACAUUCUGUCAAUUUAGUCUUGAUUUAACAAAUUUAACCCGCAACAAUUACAUAUUCUAUUAACAUUGACACAUAAUAUAUAAACAUUGAGAGCUUAAUUUGUUAUUGUAUCAAUAAAAAUUAUGUACAAUUUACAGAAAGCAUUAACACAAUGAUUAAUUGUCCUUAGUUGCUCCCUUUCAAAAUUGAUCAUGAUUAAAUUGCUCUAAUUUUCUGAGAGGAACCAAUUUGUUCAAUAUAGAAAUUGAGAGGGACGAGAAAUGUGUUUUUUUAUCCAUUUUAGAUACCAACAAGUGUUUGGCAUAGUCGCAAGACAUAUUACAUUCUCAAGGAGAGAAUGCGUAGUCAAACGUUGGAGAUAUCAAUGUUGUGUGGGGUAUCCAAGGAUCUCGAACACGAACUGUAAAACAUAUAUAAAGAAUAAAAAAAUAACAUCUUAAUUUAAAUAAUUAUAAAUUUUAAUUUGAAAAAAGUAUUUUGAGAAACAUAAGUUUUAGAAGUAGUAAAAUUGAAUCGAUAAAACAUGUCCAUUAUAUCAGAAUCAUAAAAAUACAACUUAAUUAAUUUGAAUUUAAACUUAACUCAACUCGACUUGAUUAUAAAAACUGAUAAUUUGAAUUCAAAAUGACAUGAUCUUGAAAUGAUUUGAAUUAAUUGUCAGACCCGAACGACAAAACUCGAAAUGAUGCAAUCCAAAAACACAAAUCAAGUGAACUAAACUACGAAAAAAAAAACCUUACACUGACUCAAAUCCAAAAUAGUUUAAUCCUAAAAUAACCUAAAUUUUAUAUAAUAAAAACUCGAAAUAACCCGAAAAUUUUUAAAUUAAAAUUGAUCCGACCCAAAUUCACACCACCUAAAAUCAAUCGUAACCACCUAAUUAAAAAGCAUGAAAUGAAAUGAUGUAAAGAGAAAAUCAGAGAAAACCAAAUAGAAAGUAACAAGCCUUUUUCAGAAUUGAAAGCAAAUUCCGUACAUUCACGACAUGCAUAAAACAACAAUGGUUUAUAGAAUUUAAAAAUUUUAGUUUAAUCAUUUAUGUUGGUUGUAGUUUCCGUUAGCUUAAUCAACAUGUUAAAUUACUAAAUUUUGACAAAAAAUACUUACGAGUUUAAUGAUUGUACCGAGAUUUUUAAAUAAAAAAGUCGGAAGACUAAUUUCUAACCUUUUAAAUAUAGGGACUAAAAGCAUCUUUUAACUUUGAUAUUAUUAUUAUAAGCAGGGAUAAUGUCACCUUUGGCAUCUGUACUUUCAUAAAAUGUCUAGUGGUACAAGUACUUUGAAAAUAUAUAAUGUGGUACCUGAACUAUCAAUAGGUGUUAUUAUUAUGGUACAUGUACUUUGAAAAUGUUUAAUGUGGUACCUAAACUAUCAAUAUAUAUUUUAUUAUGAUACUUGAUAAAGACGGACUAUGGUGGCUUAGGGGGCUCUUUGUCCCGCCACCCUUGCAAAAAAAAAAAUCGAAGAAUUUUGUUUUUUCCUUUAAAAUUUUUAGAAAAUUUCAAUUAGGCCCUCAAAAUUUUUGAAAAUUUUCAUUAUACCUUUUAAUUUUUUUGAAAAUUUUAAUUAAGCACUCUUAAAUUUUGAAAAUUCUCAUUAAUCUCACAAAAAUUUUAAAAUUUUUUAUUAGACCCCCAAUUUUUUUUAAAAAAAAUCUUAUUAAACCAUUAAAUUUUUAGCAAAUUUUACCUGCCCCCUCCCCCCCAAAAAAACCUAGUCCCAACUACUAGUAUCCGCCAUUGUUACUUGGUAUUAACACUGUUAGAAAAUUGCUAAAUCAACCAAUAAAAAUUUGACACAUAGAACCCUUUUUUUAAUUAUCAAGUCCACGUGGAUAAUAUAAUAGUGAAAAACUAAAUAAAAAAUAAUUAAAUCUGCUUAUUUACGAAAAUGAUGGAUUUAGUCCUUAUACCUUAAUUUGAUCAAUUUUAGUCAUUGUAUUUUUUGAAUUGGUCAAUUUUAAACUAUUUACUUUUUGAAGUUUGAAAUUUUAGUCUUGAUCCAAAUAAUAAUAAUAAUUAAAUCUGCUUAUUUAAAUUCAAUUAUUAGUUUUGUAUUAUGUAGAUAGUUAUAAAUUUAGGGUGGGUUUGGAUGGGCUGUGCUUUUACCUGCAGUUAGUGUAAAAAUAGCGGCGGUGGUGAGAUUAGAUAUCCAAGGUACCUAAUUUUUAUUUUGGCCAUAAGUACUACUAAAACUAUUCUUCCGUUACCCAUUUUAUACCAAAAUGUUAUAUCGGCUAAAAAGAUUCCAACAAAUAAUAGAUUGUAUGUCAUAUAAACUUUUUUAAAAAAUCAUUAAUUAAUUAAUUUUUAUAUUUUUCUUUCUUAUUCCUUUAUAAUGUUUGACAAUGUCGAUAAUGCUUGAAAUUGGCCCACUUGAGGUCGAAACGCUGGUGAUUAAUUUUGGUUUUGAAUUUCACCACCUACUUCUCUGACCAGAGGGGAUAGAAAAAGUUCUUUCAUCGAUCAAAACUAGUAUUUUCAAAAACAGACUGAUUCUACGGGUUGGAUAGGAAAUCGGUUUGGAAAUAGGGGUUGAAUCGAUUGACUUGCGAACAAAAACAAAUCGGUUGAACUAAGCUAAAAAAACUGGUUGAAUAAGUUCUCUCUUUUUAUAUAUAUAUAAAUAAUAAUAGACUUUGUUUUUACUACAUGUCAAUUUUUAAUUGGUUAAUUUUUUUUUCAUAUAAAUUGAACAAUUUGACUAAUGACGGAGGUACCAAAUUAUAGUCUAGGUACCAAUUUAUGGGUUAAGCCUAUUUAUAAAAUAGACUUUUGACAGUUUGACUAAUGGCGGUAGUAACUUGGGAAAAAAAAAGUAGUUUAUGUACCACUUGUGACAAAAAAUAAGAUUAGGUACCAACAUGGGAAAAUGAGUAUAAUUUAGAUACCGAUUUAUGAGUUAAGCCUAAUAUAUUUGUCGCAUAAUUUUUUGAAAAUAACAGAACUUAAUAAAUUUAACGGUUAUUGUUUGGUGAUUACUAAAAUUUUAAAAUUUGAAAAGUACAUGAACUAAAAAUGACCAAAUUAAAAUAUAAAUAUUAAGUCCACAACUUUUGCAAAGUACAAGGACUAAUUGCAGAAAUUAACCUAAAUUUCAUAUGGGUCAAUUACAAAAAUAAUCACUAAACUAUCCCUUUGGUUCUAUUCUAGCCACUCAACUAUAUAGGUGCUCAUGAGCUUGGCCAGGUCAGGCCUAAGUAAGGGUGAGCAUUCGAUUGAAUCGAAAAUUUUCGAGUUAAUCGAGUUUUCGAAUCUCAUUUUAUCAUCCUAACUUUAUUUGAAGUUUUCUCGAAUCGAGUCGAGUGAGAUGGAAUUCGAAUCGAAUCGAAUCGAAUCGAAUAUAUUUGUUCGAGUUAAAUUUUAAAAAAUAAUUUUGGGUCCUUGUAACCAUUGUCACCCAUCGUAAUAAAAUUUGUCCACCUUAAUCAAAUUUUUUAUUAACUUUCAUCACUUCAUAAUUUAUUUAUUAAUUUUUUAUAUACUGGUUAGCUUCUUUGCUUGCUUAGUUGUCUUCAGAUUCUUGUCACUAUGUAUUUUAGAAUUAAAAAAUAUAUUAAAUGUAAAAAUAUGAUUUUUUAAUAAAAGUUAUUUUAAAAAUAAAAUGUGAAAUUGAUACCAAUAUAAAAUUUCAACACGAAUAUUUUAAGGCAUAAUUAAUAAUUCAAUUUUAAUAUAAAUAUUCAAUAUGACUAAACAAUUCAAUAAUAUAAAUAAUAUAAAAUGUGAAAUUUAAUUUAAUAAUAUAAAUAGUAGAUAUAAAUAAAAUUAUUGCUAUUUAUGUUUAGUGAUUUUUUUGGAUAAUUUUGAUUUUUUAUUUGAGAAUAAAAGGUGAGAAGUAAAAGUUUAGGGGAAAAAUAAAAAGUUUUGGGGAAUAAAAGUUUGAGAGAAAGUAAAUAGGGGGAGUAAAAUUUUGGAGGGAAAAUAUUUAAAAAAAAUUGGAGGGGGGAGGGUUUGGGAUAGAUGGGAGGGGAAUAAAAGUUUUAGGGGAAAAGUGGGAGGGAGUAAAAAUUUUGGGAGAAAAUAAAAGGUUUUGAGGGUUUUGGGGAGUAAAAUAUUGAGAAAAAAUAAAUAGGAGAGUAAAAUUUUGGUGGGAAAUGGAUUUUGGGUAGAUUGGGGGGUUGGGAGGGGAGGGGAGUAAAAGUUUUGGGGGGAAAGUGGGAAGGAGUAAAAGUUUUGAGGGAAAAGUAAAAAGUUUGGGAGUUUGGGGUAAAAAUGUAAAAUAUUAUAGUUUGAUAUUCGAAUUAUUCGAAUUAUUCGAGUUAUUCGAAUUCGAAAACUCAACUCGAUUCGAACUCGAAAUUCGAAAAAAAAUUCGAGUUGAUUCGAAUAACUCGAUUCGUUUAACUCGAAAUUUGAAUUUUUUUCAAUUUUUUCGAGUCGAAUCGAGUUUUGCUCACCCCUAGUUGCAAGUGCAACUUGCGUGGUGGCUGCCAGAAGGACUGAAUCGUAAAUGUAGCAAAAGUUUUGGGGCAAAAAUGUAAUUUUGAGAAAGUUUAGGGUCAAAAUAUAAUUUUAAAAAAUAUUAAGGGUUAAAAUAUAAUUUUAUAAAAAUUUAAGGGUCAAAAUGAAAUUUUAGAAAAGUUCAGAGGUCAAAAUACAAUUUUUAAAUUUUUUUUUAAAAAAAAAACACGAAAUUAUUCCCACAAAAUUAAGUGAUUACACGUAACUUUUCAAUGUAAAAGAAAAAAAAGACUGUAACACCAAUGUUGUGGUGUUAUUUGUUGCCUAUAAAUACCAUUCCUAUUCUUCAUCUUCCUCUGCAAACAUAACAUGGCCCCCUAUCUCUUUCUCUGCCUAUUCCUCUUCUUUCCCCGUCUUUAUGCUUCUUUUUCUUCUUCAGGAUAUCAGUCCUGCUCUUCAUUAAUCCAGUUUAAGGACUCUUUUUCCAUAACAGAGGAUGCUUCUUCUGAUUGCAAUGAGAUUGCUGGCCUUAAAUCUUAUCCCAAGACAAAUUCAUGGAAGGAGGGUACAGAUUGCUGCUCAUGGGAUGGGGUCACUUGUGACCACCUAAAUGCUCAUGUUAUUGCCCUUGACUUGAGCUGCAGUUGGCUAUAUGGCAACUUCCCUUCCAAUACCACUCUCUUCCUUCUUCCUCACCUUCAAAAACUCAACCUUGCCUACAAUGAUUUUAAUCUUUCCAAAAUUCCAUCCGAGUUCGGUCGGUUUACAAGCCUAUUCUACCUCAACCUUUCCCAUACAGAGUUUGAAGGAGAAGUCCCAUCCCAAGUCUCCCACCUGUCAAAAUUGGUUUCACUUGAUCUCUCCUCUCGGAUUGAUUACUCUGGGCAAGUUACAAUUGACAAACAUGCUCUGGAGGGACUUGUUCACAACCUAACCGAGGUCAGACAUCUGUUUUUGGAUGGAAUGGACAUGUCUUCUGUUAAUGCUCAUGUCUUCAUGAAUCUAUCCUCUUCUCUAAGGUCUCUCAGUCUUGCUUAUUGUGAUUUGCAAGGAAAAUUCCUAAAAAACAUUAUUGAUUUGCCAAACCUCAAUCUCCUCAACUUGGGACGUAACCAAAACCUCAAUCUUGAUCCUUUGAAGUUCAAUCGGAGCAGCAAUCUCGAACAUUUGGAUCUGUCGUGGAUGUCCUUCUCUACAGAAUCCGUUAAUUCAGUUGAUAAUCUACAGGCCUUAAAGUACUUAGAUCUAUCAGGAAAUUCUUUCUUUCAAGGAUUGUCUGUCUCAAUCACAAAUUUAUCAUCUUUGGAGCAAUUGAUAAUUUCAGGCGCAAAUUUUUUUGGAGGAUUGCCUGACUCGAUGGGGAAUCUUGUGUCCUUGAAGUUUUUAGUUCUCUCCGAUUCCAACUUUUCAGGACCGCUUCCAAGAUCACUGGGAAACCUCUUUCAACUCAAGUGUUUAGACUUGAGAUCAAACAAAUUGAGUGGACAAAUUCCAUUGUCAAUUCUAAACCUAACGCAGUUGGAAUACUUGGAAAUAUCUGAAAAUUCUUUAGAAGGUUCCAUUCCAGAUGAGGUAACCGCUUUUCCUAAUCUAAUAUAUUUAUACUUAUCUGACAAUUUACUCAAUGGAACACUUCCGUCAUGGUUGUAUACUGCUCCCUGCUUAAAGGAAAUAUAUCUCUCUCAAAAUCAAUUCAGUGGGCAUAUCAAAGAAUUCCAAUCCAAAUCACUAGAAUUGAUAGCGUUAGAGAGUAAUAAACUCCAAGGUCCUCUUCCAUCUUCAAAAUUCCAACUUCUCAUCCUCAAGUAAUCUCAGUGGUGUCAUAGAGUUUCGCAUGUUCUCAAACCUUCCAAAUCUAAAACUUCUUGACCUUUCAUACAACAGCCUAUCCUUAGCAUCUAAUACUACUUCUUGUGUUAACCAUAUAUUGCCUAAUCUUACAGACUUACGUUUGUCAUCUUGCAAUCUUAGUGAAUUCCCCCAAUUUUUGAAAGGGCUUAAAAGUUUGAAAAGGUUAGACCUCUCUUGCAACAAAAUUGAAGGCAAGAUUCCACAGUGGAUGCAAGAGGUGGGGAAUGGCUCUUUGACUUACUUAAACGUAUCUCACAACUCUUUGACAGAAGUUGAGCACUUUCCACGGAAGAAUAUUGAAGUUCUUGACUUAAGCUCCAAUUUGAUCAGUGGAAAUCUUCCGAUUCCAGCUUCGACCAUCAAUGUCUUUUUGAUCUCAAAUAAUAGUUUCAAUGGAGAGGUCUCUUCUUUAAUAUGCAAUGCCAGUUAUCUUAAAAUUCUUGAUUUGUCCCACAAUAACUUGAGUGGAACAAUUCCGCAAUGUUUUGGAAAUUUGAGCAACAGCCUUCAAUUCUUGAAUCUGAAGAAGAACAAGUUCUAUGGGACGAUUCCUCCAACAUUUGCAGAGGGAUGCCAAUUGACUAAUUUCAACAUAAAUGGAAAUCUGUUAGAAGGGCCUUUGACACCAUCCAUCCUUAAUUGUAAUGAACUGGAAGUGCUAGAUCUUGGUAACAACAAGAUCAAUGAUACAUUUCCUCAUUGGUUGGGCAGUCUUCCAUUUUUGCAAGUUCUUGUAUUGAAGUCAAAUCAUAUGCAUGGUUCCUUGCGUGUCAAUAGCUCCAAGUCUAGCCCUUUUUUCUCUAAAAUCCAAAUUUUUGAUCUCUCGAGUAAUUAUUUUUCUGGACCUCUACCUGUGAGAUACAUCAACAGCUUCAAGGCUAUCAUAAAUCUAGAUAAGAUUGGGAGUACAAUGUCGUACAUGGGGGUGUAUGCUCAGAGAGGUAGUGGCUUCUAUACCUAUUCCAUUGGAAUUGUUAUGAAAGGACAAGAUAUGGAAUUGGUGAAAAUUUUCACCAUGUGGAUGAUCAUUGAUCUAUCAAACAAUCAGUUUGAAGGGUGUAUUCCAGAGGUUUUUGGGAAGCUUAACUUACUGAAAGGGCUCAACCUUUCUCAUAACAACCUUCAUGGUGGUAUCCCCACCUCAAUAGGGAAUUUGACAAGUCUUGAAUGGUUGGACCUAUCUUCAAACAGGUUGUCUGGGACGAUUCCAAAUAGAUUGGCAGAUCUGGCAUUUCUUUCGUCCUUCAAUGUUUCUGAUAAUCAGCUCCAUGGUCAGAUUCCUCAAGGCAAACAGUUCAACACAUUUGGAAAUGAUUCAUAUGAAGGAAACAAGGGAUUAUGUGGAUUUCCAGUCUCGAAAGGUUGCAACAUCAUUGAGCCAGCACCUCCAAAUGUGCUUGAAAAAGAUGGCUCAAAAUCAAACAUUACUUUUGGUUGGAAAGUGGUGUUGAUAGGUUAUGGAUGCGGAGUGGUGUUCGGAAUGUCCGUGGGAUAUGUUGUUUUCCAAACUGGUAAGCCGAAAUGGUUGGUGAAUUUGGUUGAAAUCCAACAUGAGAAGAAGCAAAGACGAAAGUCAAAGAAAGGCAAUCGAAGCAAUAGACGAAGAAGGAUCUAAGUACAGCAAAUGAUGUUCAAGAAUUAGUGUUGUAUUUUCAAAAUUUCUUGUUCUGUAGACCGUUUUGCCCAUGGUGAAGGGUUGCAUUGGUAUGUGUAUGUCUUUAUUAUUGUACCAAUUCCUGUCUUUCAUUGCAUUUCGUACUAUCUGUAAUGGUUUGUUUGAGUGUAACAUUUUGUAUGGUAUUGUUGUUUAUGUCUUCUUUCAUGACUUUCCAUUUAGUCUCGAUAAUCUUUGCUACUGCUCAGUAAAGGAGGAAGGAGAAUAAAAUGUCUCAAUUUAUGUCAAUUUAUGCUUGCAGAUUUGACGUGGAAUGUUGUUGAACUGAAGGUUGUUUAACUUUUGUCUUCUAAGCUAUACAUGAACAUAUGGGAUGUGACAAAUAUUAUUUUAGCUUUUGCUUAUGAAAUGUUGAAAUAGUGAGUUUAUAUUCCUUGAUUAAUAAAAAGUGAGAUGGAGAUAGUCAAACCUCAAUUUCCACAUUGAAAUUGAAUCCAAACAUUAAUUGGUGGAUCACAUGUCUUGUAUUCUGUCAAGUUAAAGGGAGUGAAUAGAGCACCAUUCUUCUUCUGCGUGGAAAAUAAGUUGGCGUUAUGCCAAUUUUCACAUUCAUACAUAUAAAGGAAGCAAGACCAAGUCAAUAUACUUUGUAAUCUCAUCAUUUCUUCUUCAUUCUUUAGGGAGUUCAAAUGAAAUACAAAUUUUUGGUAAAUCAACUCUUCUUUUUUAUGAAUAAAAAUUAUAUGGUAAAAAGGAAGUGGUGUUAAUAAUAAUAAUAAUAAUAAUAAUAAUAAUAAUAACAACAAUACAAAACUAAUAAAGCAAUUUAGUCUAUGAUUUGCACAAUGAUUAAUGUAGCGACCUAAAAAUUUAGGCACGAGCGCUAAUUGAAGUGAUUAUUGAAAAUUUGAAAACAGAAUCUCGAUUUUAUUUGAAAAAGGAGUCGCUAUCGAUCUUUUUUUCUAGGUGUGAUCGGACACCUAAUAAAUUCUCUUUUUAGAAGAAAAAUUUAUUUUUAAAUUUUUCUAAAAAUAGGUAAUUUUUCUAAAAAAUUUAGGGGUCAAAAUGUAAUUUUUUUUUUUUUGAAUUUUUUUUGAAAUUUAAAAAAAUAUAUAUAUAAACACGACAAAACCCGGACAAAAUUUAGUGCUUACAAUUAAUACCUAAUUUGAUCCUUGAAUUAUAGUUCAAAAAGUAUUUUUAUAUUUUUAAAUUUUCAUAAAAAUAAUUGUAUCAAAAUUUAAAAAUCUUAAAAAUAAAUACAAAUUUUAUAUAAAAAAUCAAUUGGCCCAAGAAAAAAAAUUUACCAACUAAAUUUUCCAUAUCCAAACUCAUAAAUAAUUCUUCUUUGAACUUUCACAAAAAAAUAUUAAAUACCCUUUCACUUUAUCAUUAUAAAUAUAAUAUACAUUUUUUUCCUUCUUUUUCAUGUAGAUCAGCUUCAACUCUACUAUUCUUAGAUCAUUAUAAAUAUAAUAUAUGUUUUAUUUACAGCUGAAAGUAAAACCUUGAGUUGAAAUUUGGCAGAAAAAAUUGUGGGUUUGGAGAAGAAGAAGAGCACUUUGUAUUUAAAUUUAAAAAAUCAAAAAUUUCAAAACUGAAAGUUACUCAAAACCCUAAACAAUCUAAUAAUUGGAGUUAUAGAAAAGAAAUAUGAGUUUAGAAAUAAAUAAAACAAAAUAAAUUUGCAAAACAAUUUCUAGGCAAAACAACAUGAAGUUGUUGAUGUGAUUGAAGGUGUUCUUCAACGGUGGAAAACAAAUAGAAUUUAAUUUGAAAAUUUUAAGAUUUUUUAAAUAAUAAAAAAUUGCAUUAGUUUAAAAACUUUAGUUUUAAUUUUAAGAUAUUUUUAGAUUUAUACAUAUUUAAUUAUUUUUAGAUUUUUUAGAUUUAAAUGAAGUUACAAUUAUUUUUGAAAACGGUACCUCUACAUUUUUGAAGGUACAAGGAAAUAAAAUAUGGAUUUGGUAUCGAUACUUCGGCCCGAGUAUCAAUGCUCGAGGUAAGUUUAUUGAUACCUUGCGAAAGGUACCAAUAAUUUUUUUAUAUUUUGAUAUUUGGUAAGAAACAUAAUGUUAGUUUGGUAUCGAUUUUCCAUGAGAUAUCAAUACCACUUAAAGAAAAUAUCGAUAGCCCUAGGACAGUAUCAAUACCUAUGUAACAGUUUUAGAAAUUUUGCAACUGGGCCCAUUUGUAGGUUUGAUUGAUGUUUUUAAUACCCUUAGUGUAUGUAUGGCAUGUUUUAAUGAUAAGAAGUGGUUGAACGACUACAACUCAUACGUAGGAUUGAAUAAAGAUGAUGAUUGGUUACUUGUGAAAUUGUUUGCUAAGUAAAUGAUGCAUGAUGGUGGUGUAACAUCCUAAUAUUUCGGCUUGGCGACUGAGCCGAGUAUAGGGUGUUACAAUGUGUUCCACAAGUUUCAUCAGCAAUCCUCAAUGCAUCUAAUUAAUUGGGAAAAUUGAGAAAAUAGAAAAAGCUUCAGAUGGUCAAGAAGAUGUAACAUGAUGAGUACCUCUUUGCACCGUCAAGAAUUUUAGUAAGUCUCCAAAUUCAUUCAUUAACCCUCCUUCCUGUUAAAUAUUUAUCAUUAAUUUUAUUAAAUUAAAACAUAAAUUUUUAUAAAUCUAAAGUGUAAUUUAUGAGCCGAGUUAUUCAAUCCAAAAAAAAAAAUCAGCCAAGACUCUUUGGACAAAUUGCUUGAGUAAAACCAGAAAAUGAAUAACAAUUUUGAUGGAUUUUGAUUACAAAUGAAUUGAGGCAUAAUGCCAUUACAUAUACCAUGCAUUCAGCUGGUCAAAAUGAGACAGACAUCACCUAAUCAUCAACCUAACUCCACUAAGUAGCCUUGAAACUUAUGAAAACAUAACUUGCACACAUAGGUACGCUGAUUUAUCAAUCUAUCAGCACCUAAUUACAUCAAACAUGUUACCAACUUAGUUCAAAUCAAACUAAGCAAGAAAACAUUAACUUAAAGUAACAAAAAAUGAACAGCAGCAUGAACUUCAGCUGCAACUGCAUGGCUGGAGCAGCUCUGCUUCUUGUCUGCAUGCCGGCCAACUUCAACAAGAUCUGAGUAAGGCUAAUUUGUCCAGAAGUUGCAUCAUGCAAAACUAUUUAAUGGCUUUUAGGUAGCUUUGUCAACGGCAAAAAAAAUGAGAAAAUUAGUCAAAUUUCUUCCAUUUUUAUCUUUAAAAAUUUGGUUUUGUGCGUCAACAUGAAGUACAUGUGGCACGUACAUGCAAACUGUCUGAUUAUUUAGACAUCUACACUAGUUUUUAAAGGUAAAAAUAGAAGAAAAUUUUAAUAAACAAGACCAAUUAACUCUUUUAUCUAGCAUACAAGAAUUAUUCUAUACAUCUUUCAAUAAAUGGGGAAAAUUACAUCCACACAUUCUCCACAUUUCAGACCUGUAAUUCUAGCCAAUUGGUCACAAGCAUACAUGUCCCAUUUCAAUAUUCAAAGGUCUGCUUUGAUUAUUUUAUUUUGUGUUCUGUUGUCGCCCCAAAAUAGUUCCACUUGGCACAUCUCCAUACAUUUCAAACAUACCAAAAAUCUGCUGGCAAGCAAUACAAGACAAGUUCCAGCCACUUCAACAUUUGGCUCCUGUUCAUUGCCAAAAGAAAAAAAUAAACAUUUUUUAUAUUUAAUUGAAGGUCAAAAACACAUAAAAAGACAACCGGACAGCUAAUAUUUCAUCCAAUCUUCACAACAUGUCUGUGUGCGUGCAGAUCCUUCACUUCCCAGAAGCCUUUAGCGCGUAUUCUAUUAUAAAAUCACAGAUUACUAUUUAAAUGAUAAAUAAAUUAUUUAAAGUAUGAAAAUAUACAUGUUUUUUUUUUAUUGGCUUAAGGGCGUAAAAAAUCCUUAAAUUUUUUUUUUAAAAAAGACAAUUAAAUUUCUCCUUUUUUUACACUCAAUUGAGCACUUAAAGUUUUAAAAUGCAUCAAAAAUACUCUCAAACUUCUUCCGAAAAAACAAUUAAAUCCUUAUUUUCUUUCCCACUCAAUUGGGUGCUUGAACUUUUUCAUAAUAUUUUUUUGGGCGAUUUAAUGAACCAUACAAGUUUCAAGGCUAAAAGAGGCAAAAGAAAAAGAAAAAGAAAAAAAAGCUAAAAUGACUUUUUGUUUGUAAAGUCAAAAAAUACCAAAUAAAUCAUUAUGUCUUUUUAGUUUUAAUUUUUUACUUGAUUAAAAGAGAAAUAAUUAACGAAUGAAAAAUAGCUAUUCCUAAAUAAAUUUAUCAGAAUUUAUAACAAAUGAGAUUUUAGAUUUGAAGUAUGAGGUUAUAUAUAUUAUAUAAGUAUAUGAUGAAGUUGGUUCAGCAUGCAGCAAACUCGACAGCAUGCAGGCCAUCAAGACCAAGUCAUGCAGGAGCUGCUGGAACGAGCUGAACUAUUCCUAUUUUGUUCAACUUGUAACCUUAAGUUAAUGUAAUGUACUUUAGUUCAUUUAGAACUAUGUUAGGUUUAUGAUUGAUGUAUUUUGAUGACAAUUAAGCUGUUAAGUCAGCUUUGUUUAAGUGUGCAAGCUUAGUUUUUCAAGUUUCAAUGUAUUAGUGGUGGUAGGUGAUGAUUAGGUAUCAUUAUGCAGAUUUUGACAAGCAAAUUGCUUGGUUUAUGUAUUGGCAUUAUGCCAUUGUUCAAUGUAUGAAUAGAAUCAGUUUUUGUUCAUCAAUUUCCUCUCCAUUUUCUUAGCUUUUUCUUUCUUUCUUUAACUCGAAAUUGUUUGUUUGCUCAGCAAGUUUUAAGGCUUGCUCGACAAGAUACUUGCUGAGUCUGCUUGAUUCUGUUCUUGCAUCAACAAUUGGUAUCUAGAGCCUAUUUCUUAAGGGAUCUGUUACUCAAUUCCAUGGCUUCAUCAAGCUUUUCACCAGCUGCACCUCAAGUCUUCAAUGGAGAAGGCUAUCACAUAUGGGUGGUCAAAAUGAAGACCUACCUGCAGGCUUUCGAUCUGUGGGAGGUGGUCAACUUUGAUGUUGAACCAGAGCCACUUAGAGCUAAUCCAACAGUGGCUCAGAUCAGGCAGCAUGCUGAUGAAAGGACCAAGAGGCACAAAGCUAUGUCUUGCAUCCAAAACUCAGUGUCUGAUGUGAUUUUCACAAGGAUUAUGGCCUGUGAAUCACCAAAACAGGCCUGGGAUAAGUUGCAGGAAGAGUUUCAAGGGACUGAGAGGACAAGGCAGCAACAGUUGUUAAAUUUGAGGAGAGAUUUCGAGAAUUUGAAGAUGAAGGAAGAAGAAACUGUCAAGCAAUAUUCUGACAGGAUUAUGGCCGUGGUUAACAGCAUCAGGCUCCUUGGAGAGCAGUUCAAUGAAGCUAGGAUAGUGGAGAAGGUUAUAGCAACUCUGCCUGAGAGGUAUGAGGCAAAAAUCUCAUCUCUCGAGGACUCAAGGGAUCUGUCCACCAUCUCCCUGACAGAGUUGAUCAAUGCUCUAUAUGCUCAAGAGCAGAGGAGAGCAAGCAGACUGGAGGAGCACCAAGAAGGUGCCUUUCAGGCAAGAACAAAUACUGCCUACAAAGGCAAGAAGGCCUGGAGAGACAAGCCAAAGAAUGAUGCUGCAAGGAGAGAAGGUCAGACUUGCAAGCACUGUAGAAAGGCUGGUCAUUCAGAAGAAAAAUGCUGGUUCAAUCCAGAUGCUGUGUGUCAGCAUUGUAAGAAGAAGGGUCAUGUUGAGAGAGUCUGCAAGAGUAAGACCAAAUCGAGGCAGAAUCAGUUUCAACAGAUGAAAGCUGAGGCUCGAGUAGCUAAGGAGGACAGUGACCAAGAGGAGCAAGUCUUUGCUGUGUCAUGCUCAGCUGCUCAGGAAAAGUCCUCAUCUGGUUGGCUUCUAGACAGUGGAUGUACCAACCACAUGACACCUGAUGCUGCAAUCUUCAAGUCUUUAGACAGAAGCUGUAGAACUAAAGUCAAGAUAGGAAAUGGUCAUUUUAUUCAAGCUGAAGGCAAGGGUGAUGUGCUGAUAUGCACCCUUACAGGUACCAAAGUGAUUUCAAAUGUGCUGUUGGUGCCUGAAAUUGACAGAAACCUGCUCAGCAUAGCUCAGUUGCUGGAAAAAGGUUAUUCAGUUGUGUUUAAAGACCACCAUUGCCAAAUCAGUGAUCCAAGUGGAUCCAAACUGAUGGCAGUCCCUAUGGCUGACAAGAGCUUUGUGGUUGACUGGACAAAAAAGGCAGACAUUGCCUACACAGCCACUUCAGAUGAAUCCAAGCUGUGGCAUCAAAGAUUGGGACAUGCCAACUUCAGAUCGAUGGCUCGAAUGGUCAGAGAGGACCUGGCUGAAAAUUUCAUCAACUCAGUUGACCAUGAUGAUGUAUGUGAUGUAUGUCAGCUAGGAAAGCAGGCCAGACUCCCAUUUCCCUCGAAUCAAGCCUGGAGAGCCUCUGAAAAACUCCAACUGGUGCAUACUGAUGUGUGUGGCCCUAUGAAGACUGAGUCAUUAAGUGGAAACAGGUAUUUCAUACUGUUCAUUGAUGAUUUCUCGAGAUAUUGCUGGAUUUACUUUUUAAAACAGAAAUCUGAAGUGGCCUCAGUGUUUUGGAAGUUCAAGACUGCUUCUGAGACUGAAACAGGCUGCAAGCUGAAGACCAUAAGGUCUGAUAAUGGGACUGAGUACACCUCAGCUCAGUUCCAAGCCUUCUGUGAUAAGGCAGGCAUCAAACAUCAACUUACCAACACAUAUACACCUCAGCAGAAUGGGGUAAGUGAAAGGAAGAAUAGGAGUUUGAUGGAUAUGGCCAGGUGCUUGAUGAUUCAGAAAAAUCUGCCUAAAGCACUAUGGGCAGAAGCAGUUAACACUGCAACAUACAUUCAAAAUAGACUUCCAACCAAGGCUUUGGAUCAAAAGACCCCAUUCGAGGCCUGGUUUAGCUUCAAGCCAUCAUUGGCUCAUCUGAAGGUCUUUGGAUGCAUCAGUUAUGCACAUGUACCUGCUGUUAAAAGGGACAAAUUGUCUGAAAGGGCUCGACCUGGUGUUUUGGUGGGGUAUAGCACUGUUAAGAAGGGCUAUAGGAUUUUAGAUCCUACAACAAACAAAGUAUCAAUAAGCAGGGAUGUGGUAUUUGAUGAGAGGUCAUGUUGGAACUGGGAAAGACAUGAACCUGAAGAAGUUUCUGAAGAACUUGCAGUAGACCAAGCUGAGCCAGAUCAAAAUGUCCCUGAAAUGGAUAUUGAUGAUGAACCAGUCAGAGGAACAAGGUCAUUGGCUGAGGUUUAUGAAAGGGCUCAUGUAGCCAUAGCUGAACCAAGCAACUUUGAAGAGGCUGAGGCUCAACAAGGGUGGAAGCAGGCAAUGGCUGAGGAGAUCAGCAUGAUUGAGAAGAACCAGACCUGGGAAUUGGUUGAAAGGCCAGUCAAAAGGAAAGUGAUUGGGGUGAAAUGGGUGUACAAAGCCAAGCAGAAUGCUGAUGGUACCUUGAACAAGUUAAAAGCAAGGCUAGUGGUCAAGGGGUUCAGUCAGAGGUAUGGCUUGGACUACUUGGAGACCUUUGCACCAGUGGCCAGGCUCGACACCAUCAGACUGCUGAUUGCCUUAGCAGCACAGCUCGAAUGGAAGAUUCAUCAACUUGAUGUGAAAUCAGCCUUUCUGAAUGGUUUCUUAGAUGAAGACAUCUAUGUUGAACAACCACAAGGGUUUGAAAUAGCUGGCAGAGAGCAUAUGGUCUACAAAUUGAAGAAGGCCCUAUAUGGCUUAAAACAGGCUCCAAGGGCCUGGUACAGCAGAAUCGAUGGCUACCUGACUGAUCUGGGAUUCAAUCGAAGCAAGAGUGAGCCAACACUGUAUGUCAAGAAGCAAGGGACACAAACACAACUCAUUGUGUCCCUAUAUGUUGAUGACCUGCUGGUGACAGGAGGAGAUCAAGCAGUGCUGGUUAGUUUCAAGACCAAGAUGCAGGAGGUGUUUGAAAUGUCUGAUCUUGGGGAGAUGUCCUAUUUUCUUGGAAUGGAGGUGACUCAAGCACAGAAUGGGAUAUUUUUAAGUCAGAAGAGCUUUGCCACAAAGAUUCUGACCAAGUUCUCCAUGCAAAACAGCAAACCAACUAAAACACCUGUUGCUGUUGGAGAAAAACUAUCGAGCCAAGGAGAUUUUGAGAAGGUAUGUGAAACUACCUACAGGAGUCUAGUUGGUUGUUUGCUAUACUUGACUGCCACUAGACCAGACAUAAUGUAUGCUGUAGGAUUGCUCUCAAAGUUCUUGCAUUGUUGCAAUGAGAAGCAUUUCCAGACUGCCAAGAGAGUGCUCAGAUAUGUCAAAGGCACUUUGGACUAUGGCUUAAGGUACAGCAGAAAAGGAAAUCUAAAUCUAGUUGGGUACACUGAUAGUGACUGGGCUGGAUCGAUAGAUGACAUGAAAAGCACCUCAGGGUAUGCUUUUAGACUUGGUUCAGCCAUGUUCUGCUGGAGCUCGAAGAAGCAAAGUCUGGUGGCACAAUCUACGGCUGAAGCAGAGUAUGUGGCAGCAGCAAGUGCUGUCAACCAAGCCAUUUGGCUUAGGAAAAUCCUGGCUGAUUUGAAUAUGGAUCAAAUGGAAGCAACAGAGAUCUUCUGUGACAAUCAAUCUGCAGUUGCAAUUGCUAAAAAUCCAGUGUUCCAUGGUAGAACAAAACAUUUCAGCAUCAAGUUACAUGUUGUUCGAGAAAUGGAGCAAGCUCAGGAAGUAAAGCUGAUCCACUGUAAUUCAGAGGAUCAACUUGCUGACAUUUUAACCAAAGCUCUUAGUGUCACAAGGUUUGAAUAUCUAAGAAAGAUGCUAGGUGUUUGCUCCAUGCAAACCAAGGAGGAGUGAUGAAGUUGGUUCAGCAUGCAGCAAACUCGACAGCAUGCAGGCCAUCAAGACCAAGUCAUGCAGGAGCUGCUGGAACGAGCUGAACUAUUCCUAUUUUGUUCAACUUGUAACCUUAAGUUAAUGUAAUGUACUUUAGUUCAUUUAGAACUAUGUUAGGUUUAUGAUUGAUGUAUUUUGAUGACAAUUAAGCUGUUAAGUCAGCUUUGUUUAAGUGUGCAAGCUUAGUUUUUCAAGUUUCAAUGUAUUAGUGGUGGUAGGUGAUGAUUAGGUAUCAUUAUGCAGAUUUUGACAAGCAAAUUGCUUGGUUUAUGUAUUGGCAUUAUGCCAUUGUUCAAUGUAUGAAUAGAAUCAGUUUUUGUUCAUCAAUUUCCUCUCCAUUUUCUUAGCUUUUUCUUUCUUUCUUUAACUCGAAAUUGUUUGUUUGCUCAGCAAGUUUUAAGGCUUGCUCGACAAGAUACUUGCUGAGUCUGCUUGAUUCUGUUCUUGCACCAACAGUAUACCUGUUUUUAUGGAAUCGGUGGAUUAUAUUUUCGACAGUCUUCUUCCCCAAGCGUAGUGAAUAGAGCACAAUUUUGUUCUUUUGGAUGGAAAAGAAUUUCUACAUUAAUUAGAUUUGGUUGACAGGCAAAUGAAUAGAUACACACAUUUUUUACGUGUUAUUAAGGAAGAAGACUAAGUCAAUCUACUUUGUAAUCUCAUCAAUCUUAAUUUUUUUAGUUGUUUAGGGAGUUCAAAUGAAAUACAAGAUUUUGCUAUAAAAAAAAAAAAGCAUCCAAUUUUAAGAAUGAAAAAUAUACGGUAAAAAGAAGACUAAUGGUUGUUGAUGAUUGUGAAAAAUACAAAAAUUAUUUGUUGCCUAUAAAUACCAUUCCUAUCCUUCAUCUUCCUCUACAAACAUAACAUGGCCUCCUAUCUCUUUCUCUGCCUAUUCCUCUUCUUUCCCCAUCUUUAUGCUUCUUUUUCUUCUUCAGGAUCUCACUCCUGCUCUUCGCUAAUCCAGUUCAAGAAUUCUUUUUCCAUCACUCAGACAGAUGUUGCUUCUUCUUAUUGCGAUGAUCAAUCUUAUCCCAAGACAGAUUCAUGGAAGGAGGGUACAGAUUGCUGCUCAUGGGAUGGGGUCACUUGUGACCACCUAAAUGCUCAUGUUAUUGUCCUUGACUUGAGUUGCAGUUGGCUAUAUGGCAACUUCCCUUCCAAUACCACUCUCUUCCUUCUUCCUCACCUUCAAAAACUCAACCUUGCCUACAAUGAUUUUAAUCUUUCCAAAAUUCCAUCCGAGUUCGGUCGGUUUAUAAGCCUAUUCUACCUCAACCUUUCCAAUACAGGGUUUGCAGGAGAAGUCCCAUCCCAAGUCUCCCACCUGUCAAAAUUGGUUUCACUUGAUCUCUCCUGUCGGGCUGAUGCACAAACAAUUGACAAACAUGCUCUGGAGGGACUUGUUCACAACCUAACCGAGGUCAGACAUCUGUUUUUGGAUGGAAUCAACAUGUCUUCUGUUAAUGCUCAUGUCUUCAUGAAUCUAUCCUCUUCUCUAAGGUCUCUCAGUCUUGCUUUUUGUGAUUUGCAAGGAAAAUUCCCAAAAAACAUUUUUGAUUUGCCAAACCUCAAUCUCCUCAACUUGGGAGGCAACCAAAACCUCAAUCUUGAUCCUUUGAAGUUCAAUCGGAGCAGCAAUCUUGAACAUUUGGAUCUGUCGUGGAUGUCCUCCUCUACAGAAAUUGAUUCAGUUGAUAAUCUACAGGCCUUAAAGUACUUAGAUCUAUCAGGAAAUUCUUUCUUUCAAGGAUUGUCUGUCUCAAUCACAAAUUUAUCAUCUUUGGAGUACUUGAUUCUUAGAGGCGCAAAUGUUUUUGGAGGAUUGCCUGACUUGACAGGGAAUCUUGUGUCCUUGAAGUUUUUAGAUCUCUCCCAGUCCAACUUAUCAGGACCGGUUCCAAGAUCACUGGGAACCUCUUGCAACUCACUCAUUUAGACUUGUCGCAGAACCAAUUGAGUGGACAAAUUCCAAGAUUAUUGGGGAACCUCUUUCAACUCACUCAUUUAGACUUGUCGUGGAACCAAUUGAGUGGACAAAUUCCAAGAUCAUUGGGGAACCUCUUGCAACUCACUCAUUUAGAUUUGUCGAUGAACCAAUUGAGUGGACAAAUUCCAAGAUCAUUGGGGAUCAUUGGGGAACAUCUUGCAACUCACUCAUUUACUUGUCGGUGAACCAAUUGAGUGGACAAAUUCCAAGAUCAUUGGGGAACCUCUUGCAACUCACUCAUUUAGACUUGUCGGUGAACCAAUUGAGUGGACAAAUUCCAAGAUCAUUGGGGAACCAAUUGAGUGGACAAAUUCCAAGAUCAUUGGGGAAC
This 54189-nucleotide long non-coding RNA is filed under the name Gossypium barbadense (sea-island cotton). RNAcentral describes it as "long non-coding RNA (GBAR_LNC023018)". The record is from RNAcentral. Lineage: Eukaryota; Viridiplantae; Streptophyta; Magnoliopsida; Malvales; Malvaceae.